This 48523-nucleotide long non-coding RNA is filed under the name Ananas comosus (pineapple). RNAcentral's name for it is "long non-coding RNA (ACOM_LNC033655)". The record is from RNAcentral. Lineage: Eukaryota; Viridiplantae; Streptophyta; Magnoliopsida; Poales; Bromeliaceae.
AAAAUAAAAAAUAUUGCUUUCUACUAUAACAAAAUAAUAUAAUAUAUUAUUACAUAUUAUUAAUUUAUUUAUAAAUAUAAAAACCUAAUUUAAAUAUUUUAAUAUAUUUUAAAUUUAAUUAAAAAUUUUAAAUGUAUUUAGAUUUUUAUAUAAUAUAGAACUAGGCUAGAAUAAUAUUAAUAGCAUCAAGUCAUUAAUGUUAUUAGGUUUUCGGCCCUUGGGGCGCGUUUGGUUCGCACUAUGAAAGAUUACUAGGAGUAAAUAGAUAUCCGAGAAUCUUAUUCUUAUUCAUCCUAUUACUAAGAAUGUAGCAUUUCGGUGUUUGGUUCGUACAGCCAUGUUAUCUAAGAUUAUGAAAAAUAUACAAUUAAUUUAUUUAUUUUUUUAAUUAAUUUUAAAUAAUACUAUUAAAAAUUUCAAAAUCUUUUUAGAAAAGAGAGAGAGAAUAUAUGUUAGAAAGAGAGAGCAUAAUUAAAGAAAUAGGAAGAGAAAUAGAGUCGAGGUUAGAGAGAAUGAGAGAGUUGAGAUUUUAGAAAAAGAGGGGGAGAAAUAGCUUAGUUUAGAGAGAGAAAAAGAGUUGAAGUUUAGAAAGAAAAAGAUAAGUUUAGAAAAAGAUAUGAGGUUAGAGUGUAAAUAAAAAUAAUACCAACUAGCCGGCGGGUGGAAAGAAAGAAAUAAAUUAGACAUAUUAUAUUUACCCCAAUCCAUUAAUAUAAGGAUACCCACUCUCCCUCAAAGGAAUGAGAUUAGUACUUUAGGAUGAAUCUCAUUCCCAAGUAAAUCCAGUAUUAUCAACUAGAUUUUUUAUAUUUUUUUUUAUUCCUAUUGGAUUACUAUAAAUCUUAAAAAGAUAGCACGAACCAAACUCAUCCUUAGAUUAAGGAAUGUAUGGUUAGAAUGAUAACGGUCUCCUAAGUUAGUGUUUAGUUGAGGGAUAAAGUAGGAAUAGACCACUUUGUCCCUCUAAUUCAUCCAAACACUAGAGAAAGGAAUGGAUUUAUUUAAUCUCUCUCUUAACAAGUUAUUCUAGAAUAACCUAUUAAGAGGGAAAAUUGUUAUUCUACUCUUUUGGUGGAAUAACAAUUUCUUUUCUUUAUACCUCUACUAAUUUAAUAAUAAUAUAUUAUUAAUUAAUAUCUUAUAUAUUGUUUUAUUAAUUAAAUAGCUAAAUUAAUAAUUAACUAAUUUAAUAAUAAAAUAUUAGUUAAAUUAAUAAUUAUUUAAUGUGUUUAUUUAAUAACUAAUAUCUAUAUUGACUAAUCAAUUAAUAUUUUGACCAAUAUAACUAAUUAAAUAGAAGUGCUUAAUUAAUUUUUUUAUUUUAUUAAUAAAUUAAUUUAUUAGCUUAAUUUGUUAACUUAUCAAAUUAUUUAUAGUUAAUUAAUUUAUUAACUAACCGUACUCAUGAUUAAUUAAUUAAUAAUUAAUUAAUGUCCUAAUUAAUUUAUUAAUUAAUAUUUUAUGAGUAUCUAAUAAUAUUCAUGAUAAAUUUAUUAAUUAAUUUAUUAAAUAUCAUUUACUUAAAAUUUUGUUGUUAAUUAAUUAUAUACAAUAUUAUUAUUUAACUACUAUAAUUACUCUUAUUCUUAUUAUUCCUAUCUAACUACCAAAACACUAUUUUUCUUAUUUUAAAAAGUAACUCAUUUUUUAUUCAAACAUAAAAUUGAUCAUGUUUUCGUUUAUCUCCGAAGUUGUAUCUAUUCCAGGAAUAACCAAAAAUAAUUGUUUUCGAAUCAGACGAUACCCUAGAAUUUAGUAGAUAGCUGAUAGAGUAAUAUGAUCUAAGGGGUGAAAAUGAUCAAAGAGAUAAAUUUAACAGCAGAAAACUUGGUGGCACCAAGUGCUCGGGGCUAUUGAUAGUAUUGUAGUUAGACUCAUAUAUUAGUUAAAUAAUAUUUGAUUGUUAUAUAUUUUUAGUGACUUGAAAAAUUAUAUUCAAUACUUUGACAUUUACAAAAAAAUUAGCUUAAUAAUUAGUUUAUUUUUAAAAAAAUUUCAGGGUGUCUGUGGUAAUGAGGACUGGGAAGUGCCUCAUCCCUGCUAUGCUCCAUUGUCAUCCCUAGGUUGGAAUAGUUUGAUAUAUCAUAUGAUUUAGGUAAAAAUGUAUAUAACAUAUCAGAUAUAUAUAUAUGGAUCAUUUUGAGACAACUAUUCAGUCUUUCAAAUUUUUAUUUUUUUUAAUAUUUGAUUUAAGUUAGGCAACAUGUGACGAGACAAAAAUUCAAUAUUUCAAUAUUUUAUUUUUUUUAAAAUAUUUGAUUUAAGUUAGGCAACGUGUGUGACAUUCCAACUUUCCACUGGGUCACCCAUCCUAGAACUACUUCCGUCCUAACAUGCUUAACUUUCUUAAGUUCUUGGGCUUUGCCACCACCCAAAAUGAUUAAGUCGGAUUAAGAGUUUUAGCCUUAUUAUAUUUUAUAUAUAGGAUUAUUCGGGAUCUCACAUUUUUCUGCUUUUAAGCAUUAACGUUCUUGUCAGGCUCAGACUUACAAGUAUCAAGCGAUGUGAGACUCGUCUUGCUAGUCUUGUCAUUCCGACUCUGAAACAAUCAAAAGUCAUCUCACACUUUCGGCUGGUAAUUGGCUCUUAUACCAACUGUGACGUCCCAACUUUUCAGGAGUUAUCCAUCCAAGGACUACUCCCGUCCUAGCAUGUUUAACUUUUUUAACCUCUUGGGUCUAGCCACAGCCCAAAAUACUUAAGUCGGACUAAGAGUUUUAGCUAUAUUAUAUCUUAUAUAUAGAACUAUUCGGAGUCUCACACAACGACACAUUGACUUUAAAGUUUCAGUUAAUUAUUUUAAAUAAUAAAUUUACAGUUGCAAAAAUUACAUAAAGUAUACUUAUUAAAUUUAUAAAAUAAAUAACAUAAUUAAAUUUUGAAGCCAUAGUGCAGUUAAAGGUUUUGGCAGUUGACGAAGUCUUCGUUUGGGAUUGCGGGAAGAUUGCGUUACGUGCCGUGAGAAAGUACGUAGGAAAAAUAUCCUGUUUAUUUUCGUACGUAAUAUUGUCUUCCGCAUAUCGCGAUGAGUCGGUUACGAUGUAUUUUCUGCGGUCCCACCGGAGAACGCAAAAGCAUAUCCAUAUUUGCUUUUUCCUCAACUCCAUUUUUUCUAAUAGCGUUAGAUAGACUUCAAUACCAAACUAAGCCUAAAAAUGGUUCAUAAUUUAGAUAACUUAUGUGCGUUCUAACAUGUAAUUUAUUUUGUAUUCAAAUUUAAUAUUCUAUUUUAAUUUGAAAAUUGGUAGUUGACUAAAAAUGGUUCAUAAUUUAGAUAACUUAUGUGCGUUCUUAUGUGUAAUUUAUUUGGUAUUCAAAUUUAAUAUUCUAUUUUAAUUUGAAAAUUUUCUAUCUGAAUUUUAAUACCGUAUCAGAUGAUAGAUUUAAAGAUAGUCCAAAUUUUUGUUUUUCCGAAAAAAGAAAGAGCUAGCUUACACUCAAGGUGUUGGUGAACUUUGGCUAUAAUUUUUACUAUUAUUUAUUUUAGUUUAAAAUGUAAAGAGACUUUCUGAACUUUGGCUACUUUUAUAAAUAGAUGAGUGAACUUUUAAUUUAAUAAUUAUAUUAUCUAAACUUUAUGAAAUAAUUUAAUAGACUCCUCUCUUUAAUUAUCAAUUAAAAUUAUUAAUCACACAAUCAUUUUGAUAGUUUGUAUUGCUUAUAGUUUUAUAAAGCUUUAAAAUACAAACAAAUUUAUUUCUUAUAUUCUAAUACGUAAAAGAAGCAAUAAAAUAUGAAGUUUAAUUCAACUCAUCCUUCGCUCAUCAUAUUUAGUUAACAACAUUGAAAGCGAAAAAUAUGCAUAUUUAUAUUUUGAAGCAUUAAAAAACUAUAUAUAUGAAAUUCGAUUAAAAAGGGAGGUGAUUCAUUUUUAGUUNAAGUGAGAGAGAGUAUAAGUUAGAGAGAGAGAGAGCAUAAUUAAAAAAAUAGAAAGAAAAAUAUAGUCGAAAUUAGAGGGAGUGAGAGAGUUGAAAUUUUAGAAAGAGAGAGAGAGAGAAAGCUUAGUUUAGAGAGAGAAAAAAAAGUUAAAUUUUAGAGAGAAAAAUAAGUUUAGAGAGAGAUAUAAUGUUAGAGUGUAAAGAAAAAUAAUAUCAAUUAGCCGGCGGGUAGGAAGAAAGAAAGAGAUUAGACAUAUUAUGAUUAUUUAAAUCCAUUAAUAUGAGGAUACCCACCCUCCCUCAAGGGAAUGAGAUUAGUAUUUUAAGGUGAAUCUUAUUCCCAAGUGAAUCAAAUAUUACCAACUGGAUUACUUAGUGCGUUUAGCCAAACACCGUCAUAUUUUUUUAUUCCUAUUGGAUUACUAGAAAUCUUUAAAAGAUAGCGCGAACCAAACGCACCCUUAUAUUAAUGUUUUACCUACCAUAGCUUUAGUCAUGUUAUUUUAUACUUAUUAUUGUUUUGAAAUUGCUAUGUAUUUAUUUGCCUCAUGUGAAUGGUAAGUCAAAUAUAAAUUUAUAAUUAUUAAUCAUGUAUAAAAACUAAAAAUUUUAAGAGAAUUUCAUAUAUCCAUUUGCUGAACAUAAAAUAUAAAACUCUUUUCGCUUCCAACAUCACAACUGUGAGUAAAACUAAGAAUAAAGUUCUGCAACUUUUAAUUGAAAGAUUUUUUCUAAAAAAAAAGAACACACAAAGCAUGCUUUACUUUAUAAUCUCCAAUGGUUUACACAUUCUAAUUUCUAUUUUAUAUCAUGUUUUUUUCAUAAUAGUAACAGUUUAAAUAUUAAAAUAAAAAAUAAAAAAUUAAAAACUAAAAUUUGAAUUUCAAAAUUUUAAAUAUAAAUUGUUUUAAAAAAUUUUAAAUUCAGAUUUAAACUUAAAAUUACAAAUUUUGAUUCAAAUUUUAAUUUUAAAUUUAAAAUUUUGAAGUAAAGGUCAGCAAAAAAAAAAUAGCAAACACCAAAGCCUUAUAAAACUAUUUUAAAAAAUCAAUUUUCUACUUGAGCUUUAAUUAAUUAAUUUUUAAAUAAAAAUUAAUUCUACAAAAUUUAUAUAUAUUUUUUGUUUACGAGUCGGCUUCUGUUUGGCUCGAAAUGAGCUCGAGAUCGAAUCGCUUAUUUAGUAAACGAGCCGUACACGAGUUGAAUUUUUCAGCUCGUUUAAUAAAUGAGCCGAACAUGUACUAGGAUCAGCUCGGUCAUGUUUGACUCGAUUACAGCUCGAAUAUAUAUAUUUUAUAUUUAUAUAAUUUAUUUACUUUAUAUUUAUAUAUAAAAAUAAAUAAUUUUAUAUAUAAUAUAUAUAUUAUUAUUAUUUAAUUUUAGUCCAAAAAAAUAUAAAGCGGAGAUCAAAUAUAAAAUGACUUAUUUAUAUGUAAAUUUUCUACCAUUAAAUCAAAGUUUAAUAGGUAAGAUUUUAUAUAUUUAUUUUUUAUUUAUAUAUAUAAUCUAAUCUAUUUAAUUUAUUUUUUUGUUGGUCAGCUCGUGAGCCUGCUUUUGUUCGACUUGUUUAUUAACAAGCGGAGGAACACGAGGUGAAUUUUUCGGCUCGAUACUUUAAGGACUUAAUUAUAACAAUUAAAAAGUUGUGGACUAGAUUGAAACCCUGGGCCAAAGGUUGAGGAUCUACUAUCUAAGGACUAAAUUGAAACAUUCGUAAAAAGCCAGGACCUCCCAUGUAAUUAACCCCUUAAAUAGCUUCCUUCGGAAUUUCCACGACCCCUGCUUCCGUUCUCUCCGCCCAAAAUCCCCAAACCCUAAUUGUAGGGUUUUACCCCGCGACGCCAUGGACGUGGACAUGGAUACACGGAGAUCCCAAACCCCCGAGGAGACGGCCGACACCUUCGAAGACCUCGCCGGCGCCGACGACGACGACCUCGGCUCCGCCGUCCUCGUCCGCCACCAGAGCUCCCCGCGCGAGGACCACCAGCAUCUCUGCGCCGCCGUGGGCGCCAUGGCCCAAACCCUAAAGGACCAGAGGAUCCCCCUCACCCCCGUCGCCUACUUCGGCGCCACCGCCGCCUCCCUCGACCGCCUCUCCCGCGACCCCUCCGCCGCCGCCGCCUCGGAUCCCGUCACCACCGCCCUCCUCACCUUCCUCUCCUCCGUGCUCCCCAGGGUCUCCGCUGCUGUGUUGAGGAGCAAGGGGCCCUCGGUUGCCGAAUCCGUGGUCCGGAUUUUAGGGUUCCGGUCGCUGCCGGAUGGCGGCGUGAAGAGUGGAUUGAAGUGCAUUGCUCAUUUGAUCGCGUUUGGGGAUAAGUCGAAUUGGUCGAGGUUAUCCCCUUAUUAUGGAGUACUUCUUGGCUUCGUGACGGAUCACCGGCCGAAGGUAAUGCAAUAAUUUAGUUUCUCUCUUACAUUGUAUUUAAUUAGUAUAUACUUUAUCCUCAAGAAAUGUGCUAUAUUGCAUCAGAUUUUUCUACUGUGUACAUCUUUCAAAUGUAGCACACUUGAAAUUCCCUUUACUUUACCCCCUGUUUAGUUGCCUCAAAUCCUAGAAUUCUAAAGAAAUAAAAUUCCCAUUUUGCUAAAUCCAUUGUUUGGUAUCAUAAGUUGAUAGGAAUUCAAUUCAUUCGCAAGGAUUUGGUGGAAUGAUUUGAUGUCUGAUUUGGUGAGAAUUCAUUUACUAUUUGUUAUACUUUAUCGAUAACGCCAAAUACCCUUUUCUUAAAUUAGUUAUGAUAUCCUUCUUACUGAAUAACUGAGGAUAAAAUGCGAAAUGUAAUUACGCUGAAAUAAUCUCUCAUUCUUUAUCGAACGAUAAAACUGAAUGGAAUUCGGUUGAACUCCAUUUUAGUUCAAACAAAAAAUUUCAUUUCUAUGUAUAUUCAGUUGAAUUCUUCUCAAAUGAAUUCCAUUGAAUUCUAUUUAGAUUUGAUGCCAAAUGAACCGUUAAUAUUGCAACCUUCCGUAAUGGGAAGGGAAUUUAAGAGAUUCAAGUCUAUUUGAGUUUCUGUAUUGUUUAGCCUUUGACGAUUUAUGACAUGGAUAUGCCGUUUAGCCAUUGUUACUUGAUUAGAGCUUGAGACAUGAGAGUUCCUUGCUGAUGGGACGUUAACGCAUCAAAAAGAUGUAUCUUUCUUUGUUCCUUCCCUUGCACUCUCUCAAAAUUAUGACUUGUCUAAGCUCAAAACUGUGUUUGCGUUUUGUGGCAUGGAUGGUUAAAUGACUACACAUCUAGUAAAAAUACUUUCUUUUCCCAUUUCUUAAUGUUGUAACUUAGAGGUCUUCUUAUUUUUUAGAUAAGAAUUUUGUAGUUUACACUUCAUUUUAGCUGAAUACUGAGAAUCCUUAGAAUAAUAAUCAUUGAAAAAGAGAUAAAUUUGACUUCCUCUUUUGGUAAGCAGAAAUAUAUCAUUCUGAUCAUAAAGCAAAAUCAGUUAAUUUAUGAGUUCAUGCAUAGGAUAUUAUGCAGUUAUAUGAAAUAUAUAUUUAAGAAUCUAAGGAAUGGUUUGUAGGUGAGAAAGCAGAGUCAUGCAUCUCUGCGGGAUGUUCUUCAGAGUUUCCAAAAGUCAGCAGUUUUGGUACCAGCAAGUGAAGUGAUCACUGAAACUUUUGAGCGAUUUCUUUUACUUGCUGGUGGGUCAAGUUCUUCAAAAACAGCUGCAUCAGAAGAAGGGCCUAGGGGGGCUUUGGAAAUCUUGCAUAUUCUGAAUGCCCUCAAGGAUUGCCUUCCUCUUAUGGCGACAAAAUCAGUCAACAUGAUCUUGGGAUACUUUAAACGGCUGUUGGAGUUGCAUCAGCCCAUUGUGACAAAAAGCAUAUUGGAGAUUUUGCAGUCUCUUUGUAACUAUCCAACAUCAGAGGGUAAUCCUGAAUUGCUGUUAGAUCUAUUAUGCUCUUUGGCAGUAUCUGCCUCUGAGGAAAAUUCGGCAGAUGAGAUGGCAUCAAUAGCACGUUUGUUGCAUGUCGGUAUGAAAAAAGUUUACUACCUGAACAAGCAAAUAUGCACUUUGAAGCUCCCAGUUAUAUUCACCGCUCUUGGAGGUUAGCUUUAAUAAUUAUUUCUGGCUAAUUCCUAAUUUUUAGCCUGUAGUACAUUUAUUUGCUGAUUUGGGCGAUGUAUCUGUUCUUUUCAUCAUUACUUUAGACAUAUUGGCAAGUGGGCAUGAGGAAGCUGUGUUUGCUGCUAUGGAGGCUUUGAAGGGUCUGAUGCAUUCUUGCAUUGACAAAAGCUUGGUUGAGCAUGGAAUUAGCCAAAUCAAGGCUAGACUACAAGGGUUAAGGGCUGCACCCACCGUUAUUGAAAAGAUUUGUGCUAUCCUUGAAAGCUUCCUCGGUUUUCAGUAUAAUGAUGUUUGGGACUUAUCAUUUCAUGUUCUUUCCUCAGGGUUUGAUAUUCUAGGUAAAUUUCAUUUUUGUUGUCUUCUUCCCCUAGCUUUCUGAAAAUUUUCUUGGUAAAUUCAGUUGAACACUCGAAUGGUAAAUUUUGGUUCUUGAAGAUUUUGUCAAUGCAGUAAGUUGUGCAAUGUUCAGCCAUUUGUGUGUAAGUAUGUGCAUUUGCAGUCUCGUGGCAACCAUAAAGGACCUUGAUGCAUUCUUAGGCAGCUUGACAGGCUUAUUUGUACCUAAAUAACCUGCCUGUGGCUUUUUACGCUGUAGCUACGUAAAAUUGGUAAUGGAUUCAAUGUUGAUAACUACUACCUAUAUAUAUAUAUAUAUAUAUAUUGAGUAUGUCUCCCGUGCUUUCGAAAGUACGGAGGCCUUCGUACUUGUAAGUUGUUUUCGAUGAUAGGACAUCCAAUUCGACGAUUGGCUCUAUUAGGCAUAAUCUAUGCUAUUGGAACUAUCAUGAAACCAAAUUUUAUAAUUUUUCGACAUCAUUUACCAAGCGAUCACAGGGUCUCAAAAAUGACUAUUUUAACUGCCGAUGUGGCACGUUUUUAAUUUCAACGGUGUAGAAGUAUCCAAAUUACAUGAAACUUUAAUAGAAAAUUCUACUUAACAACAAGAGCAAGAACAAUACUUCCGAUUUGAAAUUUGAGUCAUUUAUCACUAUUUUUUAUGAGAUUUUUAUUGUCAGCCGUUCAUUUUGAGGCUACUCGUUCACUAGGCAAACGGAGUAAAAAAAUUAUGAAAUUUGGUUUCUAGAUAGUUCUAAUAGUGUAGAUCAUGUUUAACGGAACCGAUUGCCGAAUCGGACGUCCCAUCAUUGAAAACAACUUACAAGCACGGAGGCCUCCGUAUUUUCGAAAGCAUAGGAGCCUAGCUCUAUAUAUAUAUAUAUAUAUAGAGAGAGAGAGAGAGAGAGAGAGAGAGAAUAGGGCUACUGUGCUAUUAGGAGCACGGCAGCCUUUGUGCUCCUAACUUCCUAACCAUCCAUCAAUUUUGAUGGGUUGUUAGGAUGAGAGAGAGAAGAGAAAUUAGGAGGAAACUCAAAGAAGAGAAAUUGAGACACCUAAUUUCUCCUCAAUUUCUCUUUUCUCUCUUAUCCUAACCAUCCAUCAAACUUAAUGGAUGGUUAGGAAGUUAGGAGCAUAAGGGCUACUGUGCUCCUAAUAGCAUAGUAGCCCUGCUCUCUCUCUCUCUCUCUCUCUCUCACUCUCUCUCUCUCUCUCUAUAUAUAUAUAUAUAGAAUUUGGCUGGAAUACUGUUAAUAGCACCAAGUCAUUGAUGCUAUUAGGUUUUCAUGCCUUGGAUGAAAAAAUGUGCAGUUAGAAUGAUAGUGGUUCCUGGUUAGGAUGAUAGUGCUCCCUUAGGGUUGAGUGGGUGGUUGGUUGAAUAGUAUGAUCCAACGGUUAGAAAUGAUGAAAGUGAUAAAUCUAACGGCAGAAAAUUUGGUAGCACCAAACGCUUGGUGCUAUCGAUAGUAUCCCAGCUGAAUUUUAUAUAUAUAUAUAUAUAUAUAUAUAUAUAUUUGGGUGCUUACAUCCUUCUAAAGAUACGUUUUACUAGAAUACUAGAUACUUUUACAAGAUUUUUGUUAUUUGACAUCUCAAUAGCUUAGUGUUAUAUAGUUCCACAUCAAAUAUCUAAUUAUCUGUACUAGUGCAUUGUUUUCUUUAGUCUUUCCAUUGGUUUCUUUUCCAUGUAUGCAUAUUUUCACAUAGUAAAAUACAAGUAUUUUUGAAAUAUGUUACCUUAGCUUACUAUGUGCACUUGGUGCCCACAUGCUGCAACUACCCUUCAGGAUGUUGGUUAAGUAAUCAAUCUGUGUUUGGAAUUUACAAUACUGUGGGAAAUUCCUGUUCCCUCAUGAUGCCUCAACUCUGAAGCACCAAGUGAAUAUUUUGCAUACAUUAUGUCGUCAUACGUUCAGAUAUUCAAUGUGCUUUUAUCUCAUGGCUUGAAUUUUUUCCUUACAAUUGUGCACAUAUUAUGAUAUUACUGAAUUUAUCUAUCCUAUAAUCUUUGAGUUUAAUGAUCUUUCUUUGCUUAGUAUUUCCAUUCCUUGAUAUAUGUCAUUCAAUGUUAAACCUUUAGGAGAAGCUUCAUGCUAUCUAAUGGCCAAUGCACUGAAGAGCCUUGCAGAUAUAGAAAAAUUACCCGAUGAAGAUUUUCCUUACAGAAAGCAGGUUUUGUAUUGUUUGCUAUAUUUGGCCAUGUUAUUAUCUUCAGUUUUACAUUAUGGAAUUAUAGGUCACUGGAUCAUAGUAAAGACUUGUGUAUUUUCAAUCUAUUUAUGCUCUUAAAUACGCAAGGCUUGCUCAAAAUUCAUAAUGAAUUAAGAGUCCUGUUAGAAGUUAUUUGAUCUUUUUCUUCUCGUUUAAUUCAGUUUUCCCUUCUCUUUUUGCAGCUUCAUGAAUGUAUUGGGUCAGCCAUUGGUGCUAUGGGACCUAAGGAAUUUUUAAAUGUUUUACAUGUACAAAAUAUAUCGGACGCCAAUGUAUGGAUUCUACCUUUACUAAAGCAAUAUACUGUUGGUGCCAGUUUAAGCUUUUUCGUGAAAGAGAUUUUAAAAAUGAUUAGCUGCAUUCAGGAGAACAUUCCUAAGGUAUGAAUUAUUUCAUAGGAAAUUCGAGUCAAUUUUAUUUGGCAUGCAUUUUAACUGGAUAGUUUUAAUUGAACAGCUUGUUGAGGAGGAUAAACUCUUCUCAGCUAAGAGGGCAGAAGGUUACAUAUAUUCACUGUGGUCCUUAUUGCCUUCUUUCUGCAACUAUGCUUGUGAUACUGCAAGUAGCUUUGGAGAUCUUCAAAAUGUAUUAUGUGAUACACUCCGUAAUGAGCCCAGCUUGCAUGGGGUAGUGUGCUCCAGUCUUCAGGUGGUUCUCUUCUUUGCUAAUAGUUGAUUUACUUGUAUAUCCUGCAAAUUGUCUAUCUGCCUAUGUAUGUAUGUGAAAAAUUCUGAAUAAUUAUUGAUGCCCAUAAAGUGCUUGAUAUCUUCCAGCCCUAGUACUUUCAAAAUUGUUUACUUUAUGGAACUUUUUCUAAUACAUGACCAACUAAUGCCAUGAAUUGGAAAACUCUGCAACUCAAGACAAGUGCAUUUUUGUAAGAAACUUCACCAUCAAUGGAUAUUAUACAAAUUCAAAUAUUACAGGGCUGCACAUGUAAUUGAUGAUUUUGCAGGAAUAUUUAUGUGAAACCCCUUACCAGUUAUUGUUCAUGUUCUUUAUUAUUGCAUGAAAUGUUAGGAUUUAUCCUUCUCUUCUUGUUUCUAGAUUCUAAUUCAACAGAACAAGGGCAUACUCUCUGAAACAAAGCAAAAGGACACAGAGCCUGAGGAUGAAUUAAGCAAGCAUGUGAGUAGAGCUAAGUCCUACUAUACCAAAGAGUUGGCAGAGGGAAAUUUAAAAGCCAUACGAGCUUCUUCUUCAAAGUUUUUGAAAGUCUUAUACUCUAUAUUCUUGGAAACUUCAAAAGACAAUGGUGGAAGCUUGCAGGUAUCGAGUUUCUUGUUUCCUCAUUAAUGCUAAUUAUUGAAGUUUUCCUAAUUUGUCUGCAUUACUGCUGUAUGCCAUCUAUUUCAUCUUUGCAUGAAGACAUGUUCAGAUGUUUUUUUCUUCGGCCAUCUGUCUAUUUAAUAGAUCAUCGAUUUUGUUAGAGCCAUUUACUUGCCAUCUCUCUCUGUCUCUCUCUCUCCCCUAAUUCCAUUCCAUUUAGUCAUGGCUUCUUUGUGGAAAAGAUGAUGGCUGAUAAGGAGAUUUUUUUUUUUUCCUUAAUAUAUACAUUUGGGUGGUGGUGGGUGCACUAGAGGAGAGUAGAGAUUUUUUAUCUGAAGUUGAUAUUCACCUCAAAACUGAAAAUGCCCUUGGUAGAAUGUUCAUUUUUAUAAGUGGCGAACAAACUUUCUGGAUCUCGUUACUUUAGCCUUGAGAGUCCAAAUUCAUGUAAUUGCUCCAUAAGAGUUCCUCUUGUUGGUGGUACUAGCGACUUCUAACCAGAAUUAUUGUUUAACCAACUUGCCUGGUCGAUGAUGAUCCUUUUGGGAAAUAUUUUAGCAUGAAACUGUUUAUCUUCUUUUCCAGGUCCAGAGAGGCUACUUUUUUUUUCAUAACUAAGAAGAACAAGUGGUAGUAGAAUAUUUUUCUGGCUUGGUCCUUUUGAUCCAGUUGUCCAUUACUCCCAAGUUAAAUUAUUUCUUUUUCCAUACUUUGUCACGAAGCUCCCAGCUGCUAAAUGCUCCUGAAACUGGAAUUCUUUAGAAUCUAUACUUCUUAAAUACUUUAUUCUAGUUAUGAAUUUGCUGAUUCUACAAGAAGGACAUAACAUUUUUCUUUCUUUAAAUUUUUCUAGUCCACCAUCAAUGAGAUUGCUUCGAUAGCAGACAACAAGGUAAUCAAGAAAUUCUUCGUGGAUACCAUGAAAGAACUAUUGGAGGCGACUCAGGAAGCAAUAAAGUCAAAGCAGAUUGAUGAUUCCAGUUCAAAGCAGAUUGAUGAUUCCAGUUCAAUGCAAAUUGACGCUUUGUCCAGCUCGAAAAUUAUGAGGAGGUUUGUUUAAAAAUUGCAAAGUAAUUCAUAAUUAGGUGUUUCUCAUCUGUCUGAAUGGGAGUUUUUUUUUCGGAAUCAUCGCAAGUAUCUCAUUUUGUAACAACCUCCUCCAGGGCCCUCUUAUUGGACUUUGCAGUUUCGCUUCUGCCUGGGCUGGGUGUAAAGGAGAUUGAUUUAUUAUUCAGUGCUAUUAAACCAGCAAUUGAGGUCCAUAUAUAGUUUAUUGCAAAUUAAAUCUUUUUAUCAAUGCUUUAUCUAUUGAUUGUGAUUCCCCAGAAAAAUUUAUUUCUUACAGGACGAAGGUUUAAUUCAGAAAAAAGCAUACAAAAUUCUUUCAGUUAUACUCAAGGUUAGUCUUGUAGGUAGAUCCUUGGAGAAGUGUUUCUUUUCUCGUCCAUGAAGUGUCAGCUGCUAAUUAUAUUUUCUGUUCAUUGCUAGGAUUCUGAUCAAUUCGUCAAAAGGAACUUGGAUGUGCUUCUCGACUUGAUGAUUAAAUCACUUACAUCUUGUCAAUUUCCAUCAAAACGUUAUCGACUUCAAUGUUUAUAUUACUUAAUUGUGUAUAUUUCAAAGGUUAGUGAUAAGAUCAACUCUCCUUUGAUGUUGGUGAUUUGGGUAUAUGAUGAUUCGGGCAUAUUAAGUAGACUUUAAUUAGAAAUCUGUUUUGUUGUUUAUAGGAUUCAUUCGAACAAAGGAAGAGGGACAUUGUUAGCUCCUUUCUCACAGAAAUAUUGCUAGCUUUAAAGGAGGUAAGCUGCUAGUUCUGUGAAGGUUUUGCGGUAUGUUACUAUGGGGCAAAUACUUGCUGUCUCUUAAUAGCAUAUUUAGUAGUAAUGAUUUUUGUUGUCUUCAUAUCUUGGAAAAGUCUAUCUUAUUCUCAUUUGCUAGUUGUUUGAAUAUUUGAUCCAUAAUGUAUGGAAGGUGUGAGAUUUUUCUAUAACAUUAAGGAAUCUGCAGAUGAUUUAUAUGGAUGUUCGAUGAUUUUUUUUCAUUGUUAUGGCUGUAGCAUCUAUCAGUCUGCUAUUUCCUUAGGGACUGCAUAAUUGUUCUUUGACUUUAAAAUUUAGCAAGACCCAGCUUUUUUUAUUAUUUUGUCAAUUGCAAUAAGUGUUAACUAUCUCUUUUAUCAGGCCAAUAAGAAAACAAGAAAUAGAGCUUAUGAUUUGCUUGUCGAAAUUGGUCAUGCUUGUGAAAAUGGAAACAAUGGCGGAAGCAGACAAAAAUUGCAACAACUUUUUAGUAUGGUAAUACUACUGAUUGAUGAUUUACCUUUUGAGUUGAUAUAUAUUUUUCUGUUGCCCAUAAGGGAGAAAAUCGAGAAAUACUAAACUUAAUCAACUGUUAGUGCUAAUGCUUUUAUCAUACAUCAAAUAGGAGUUUUCAUAUGAAAAUAUCUUAUCUUCCUCUGUUUACUCAGGUUGCUGGAGGUCUUGCCGGCGAAACCCCUCAUAUGAUUAGUGCUGCAAUAAAAGGGUUAGCUCGCUUGACCUAUGAGUUUUCAGAUCUCAUUGGUUUAGCUUACAACUUACUUCCAUCAGCAUUUCUCCUCCUGCAAAGGAAGAACCGUGAAAUUGUAAAAGUAUGUUUCAGUCUUGCAAGUUGUCUUUCUAAAUAAUGAGUAACUUUUUUUUCUUUAAAAAAAAAAACUCUCUAGUGUAGUGUGUGGUGUAGUGCACCCUUUUUUACCAUUUUUUUUUACUGACAUUUUGUGAUUUCUAAUAUAGGCUAAUUUAGGUUUUAUAAAAGUUCUGGUGGCCAAAUCCAAAGCUGAAGGGUUGCAAGAGCACCUAAGGGACAUGGUCGAGGGAUUGUUCAAGUGGCAAGAUGAUACGAAGAAUCACUUUAAAGCCAAGGUGCCUUUCUCUUUUCUGCAUAUAGUUCAAACAUGCAAACAUGAUUCUUAGUUCUGUGAUUUGUGCAAAUCAGAAGUUUUAUCCUUAAUGAAAACUGCUUUCUAGAUGUACAUCCAUCAACUAUAUCAGGGGGAAAAAAUCAAAAUAUAAAAAAGGGAAUUAUUUUAACUCACUGUGGCAUUCAUUCUGUAUGUUAUAUCUAGAUCAAGUUACUUCUUGAACUGCUGAUAAGGAAAUGUGGUUUGGAUGCUGUGAAAGCGGUUAUGCCUGAAGAACAUAUGAAACUGCUAACCAACAUAAGGAAGGUAAAUAUCAUUUUCUUCCUUGGUGCUAUUUAUAAUCCCUUUUUUUUUUUCCUUCGUCCUACCUUAAUUUCUCUUGAAAAGUAGAUUAAGGACCGAAAAGAACGGAAGACCAAAUCUUCAGACGAUGGAGAGUCACUUACAGCAAGAACAAGUAUCUCAAGGUAGCGUGAUUUCAAUAGUCUUUUAGUUGCAACUGAUAUAUAAUCGUAUAUGCACGUGCUUCAUAAAUCCCUUUUUUGGGCCCAACGAAUGGUUUCAUUUAGUAUUAUAAGAAACUUUUAAUUCUUUAGCCCCUGUUUGGUAUGGGGUUAAGGGGUGGAAUAAUCCCUUAACUCCAUACUUACUCCCAAACACUCACAAAAAUGGGUGGGGUUAGCUAACCCCACCUAACCCAGGAUAGCCCAUUUUGGGUGGGGUUAGCUAACCCCACCUAAACCCACCAAACCUCAAUCAAACACUAUUUUCUAUUCAUAAUAACCCACUAUCCUUCUUAUCUCAUCUACUCCAACCAAAUACUAUUUUUCACUAUCUUGGACUAACUCCAAUCCCCAACCAAACACAAAAAUACUCUAACCCCCUUAACCCUGAACUUAACCCUAUCCCUGAAAUAACUAGUUUUUCCUUAACCACGAACCAAACGGUUGCUUAAAGAAUUGGGUUGAUACUGUUUUACCACAGAGGACUCUAAAAUAUUAGCAUUACAUGCGUAUGUAAAAUAUGUUUCCCUGCCAAUGUCAGAGGCUUGUUUAAGUUUCCUGCGUCAAAUUCUUCUUACAUCUCCAUGUAUCUGGGGUUAGGCUAUGGACAUGCUUAGAAAGGUGAAGCUAUUAUAAUUCUGCUCCAUUCUGUGAUAAAAAUUCAAAUGGCUUGAGUUUCGUUUAGUACGUGCCUAUGCAGCCAAAUUCAUCUACUUCGUCUUGGUGUUGGAAGGAAGAAAUGUAUUUAUAGCAAGCUGCAUUCUGUUUGGUUGCAGUCGUCAUUUUCUGAACCUGAUACCUGUUUUUGUUAAUUUGCUAUUGCUUCAUGCUGUACAGGCAGAGUAGAUGGAAUCAUACUCGUAUUUUCUCUGAUUUUGGAGAUGAAGAUGGGAGCGACGAAGGUGAUGCUGAACUUGGGAUGGCCAAAUCCGUUAAUUCUUCUUAUCGGGGUUCAAAAGCUUUUUCAUCUAGGUACUUUUUCUCCUUCAAAUGCUUUUCAGGUGCAUCCUUUUUUCAAUUUUUAAAUUCUUCAACACUGUUCAUUUAAAAGUCAUCGUAUUCAUAACUCAUAUUCUUUGUUUCUAAAUAUUUAUUAUUAUCUUGAUGGCUUUUGCAUAGGUCUACGCGAAAGCGUAAGACAGCAAAAAGCUUAGCUGAAGAGUUGAUCGACCAAUCUGAUGGUGAUCCACUAGACUUGCUAGACCCUAAAACAAUGAGAACAGCGCUCCAAUCCUCGUCACAUACCAAAAGGAAUAGAUCAUCUCUUGAUGAGCCAGAGAUAGACCCCGAGGGCCGUCUAAUUGUGCGUGAGGAAGGCAGCAGACCUAGAAAGGAAAAGAGCUUCUCUUCUGAUCAGGACUUGGAUACAAAAAGCUUCUUGGGAAGCCGUUCUCUCGUGAGCACUUCAACAAGAGGACAGAAGCGUAGGAAAACAGCUGAAUCUGGGUGGUCGUACACGGGCAAAGAGUAUACCAGUAAGAGAGCCAGCGGGGACCUAAAGAAGAAGGAUAAGUUAGAGCCUUACGCUUAUUGGCCGCUUGAUCGGAAACUGCUUAACCGCCGGGCGGAGCGAAAAGCAUCUGCUCGGAAGGGCAUGGCGAGCGUUAUGAAGAAGUUCACGAAGAAGCUUGAAGGGACAAGUGCUACUGGUGCACUUUCCGUCAAGGAGAUGAAGGUAAGAAAGAAAGUAAAGGGAAGCAACAAAAGAAAGUAAGAUAUUGUUAAUUAUAUUUAAUGAUCUGAGAUGUACUGCAUCAAUGGUCAUCAUUUUUGUUUGGUUUAAAGUAUGGAGGAAAAGUUGCAUAUUGUGCGCGAGACUUUUCCUGGUUUUGAGGAUGUAUAGUCGCCGAAAGAGUGCAAACCGAAGCAAGUUGGAUGAAGACGGUGACUGUUAUUACCGGCUCGAAUUCGUAUUUGUAAUUGUAUGAUGAUUUUCUUUUUUGCCCCUAAACUUCUAUGGUGCCAAUAAUUUUUUGAUUUGUUGUAGAAUGUUCAGCUUUAAUUGUCUAUUUGGUGUUUUUUUUUUUUUUUUUUUUCCGUUUCGCCUGCGGUAGCGGGGGGAAAUGCAUAGGAUAUUUUCUCCUAUAGAAACUAUUCAGGUCGUAUAUGGAUAUGCAUAUGGAUAUGAUUUUAGAGAUUAAAAUUCAUUCGGAUAUUGAUAUGGAUUUGGAUUUUUGGACUUCUUUUUAAUAGUGUUAUAUUUUAUAUUUAAUAAAUUAUGUUGCAAUAUUAUAUCUCAGCGUUUCAUUCUCCUGGUUCCUAUAUCCAAAUAUUCUCUUCCUUUAUUCCAGUAUUAUGCUUUUUAAAGUUGGAAAAACUUUAAAUACCACUCUUGUUGUUUCGUAUUUUGUUAUUUUACUACCCUGUGGUCUAAAGUGUGUCAAUUUAGUAUUCUGCAGUUUUAUUUUUCUCUUUUUAUUUUUCUCUCCACUAAUUUUUUUUUUGUUAAAUCAGUGGUCUUUUAAAAUUAAAAGGUACUAAAGUGAAUAUUCGUUAAACUUAGGUGGGAUAUGUGAAAUUUUUUGUCUAUAAUUUAAUGAGAUGUUAACUGAGUUGAUGAAAAAAAAAAAAGAAAAAAAAAAAGAAAAAAAAAAGAAAGCACUAAAUUGAUACACUUUAAAUUACAGAAUACUAAAGUGAGAAAGUGCGAAAUCACACCGGUGGUAUUUGAAGUUUACCUUUUUAAGUUUCUAGAUUGGUAAAAAAAAAAAGAAAUCGUUGAUUGUUUGAUUGCUAAUGUGUGGGUCUACAGUCUCGAUCCAGGGCCGCCCGACCUGCUACUUCGGGCCAUGCUAGGCCGCUACCCUCAGGCCCGUUGGUCCGGCACCGCCCGGCCCAAAUUGGCAUGGGCUGUGCUCGCAAAUUUUCUCCGAACUCUUUAAAAUUUUAAAAAUUUUAAAAUUUUUUUUAUUAUAAAAAACUUUUUCUUAUAAAUUUUAAUGUUUUUUGACCAACUAUCAGUUCUUAAAAAUAAUUUUCAUCUUUUGUAUAUAUAAACUCCUUUGAUAUUAGUUAUUUCAAAAUUAAAUUUUAAAAUUAGAUAUUAAUAAUAACUAAAUCAAUCAACUCUUAUGAAGUAGUACAUAAUAUCGAUAAAGAGUAAUAUAAGGUAAGCAAGGUUUCAUGUGGGAGCAGUGGAUAAGAUCCAUUUUCCCUUUGCAUUAUUAUGAUCCCUCAUAACCAACAUAUGUUAGGUGGAUGAAGCAAUAAUUUCAUGUUAGAUCACUGUUGAGGAAAAAAAAAUGUUCAGAUUAUUGUGUACAAAAUCUUGGAAUGGGGAUAGAGCCAUUUUUUAUGAACUUUAAAAAAAAUAAAACAAAGGGUAAAUUGCACUACUAGUUCCUGAACUUUGAUUCGAGUUUUACUUUUGGUCCUCGAAGUUGCGAUUUGGAUGAUUGGGAUCUUGAAUUUUUAAUAAUGUUUCAAUUUAGUUCCUAAAUUUUCAACAAUAUUUCAUUCCGGUCCUUAUUGUUAUAUGCACUUGAUUUAUCUUCAGACAACAUAGUUUUUAAAUUCUUCACCAAUUUCAUAUGUUUAAUUUAACUGCUCAAUUUGUAUAUCGAGAAUAAUUAUAACUUAAUAAGUGCUAAAUUUCUUAAUUCUUCACCAAUUUCAUAUGUUUAAUUUAAUUUAAAAGCCCUGCGUGUAGGCAAUAAUUUGGUCUCUACUAUUAAAUAGGGAAUAUGCACAAAGGACUAAAAUGAAACUUUUCGAUAGCUAGAAACUAACUAUAGAGUAGGGUUACGAUAUUCCUAUAAGUAUAAAUUUUUUUAUACUUGUAAGUUUUCGGUCGUUGGAUGAGGAAACGUGCGGUUAGGAUGAUAGUAGUUUCCUGUUAGGAUGAUAGUGAUCCUCUUGGAUUUAGUAGGUGAUCAGUUGAAUAGUAUGAUCUAACAGAUAAAAAUGAUCAAGGAGAUAGAUUUAACGGUCGAAAAUUUAUGAGUAUAAAGAGAACUAUAGUCGUAAGAGUAGCCGGACUCCUAAUUAUAACACCAAACUUGAAUGUUUGAGAAACAAAACGGAACUAGGGGAAAAGUUCAGGGAUGUUUGCCAAAUUUAAAAUGUUAAGAUUGAUCAAACACUAAUUUUAUUCGAACCCAAUUAGAACGGGACGAGUUUAUCCUAAUAAAUAAAAAAGGACAUACUUAACCCAACACAAUAGUUUUACAAAUUAGGCUUGAAUUGUAUGGAGAGAAUUGCUAAGAUAUUUAUCAUCAAUAAAUGAAGCCUAAAAAAUUAAUUUGUCAUUAAUGAAUACCUACCGCAAAUGUGAGAAUUAAUUACUGUAUGAAAUAAAGUGAUAAAGUGCUAUAUUACCUGUCAAAAUAAAGUGCUGUACCACAGGUUUGAUAGGAGCUACUUCCUGAAUAUGUAGAAGAUACCUCUAAAAUCUCAAAUUUCUGAUAAUUCUGGUUUAUGUGUGUGGUUGAAUUUGGAUUUAAUAGUUCUGAUUUUAUGUAUGAUUGGAUAUAGACAUGAUGAGUAUUCCAGCAUCAGGUAAAAAUAAUAGUUUGGUUCCAAUAAAUUAUUACUGGGAGAGUAUGUCAAAUUGUUAUAGAAACAAUGUGGGAUUGAAAAACAAGGUGUUCAUGUUUGGUGUUGUCCGAUAAAAUGCUAUUUCCAGUAGUGUUAUUAUAAAAUUUAAAAACAAAAAGCUGCAUUAAUUAAUAUAUCCUCUAAAUGGCUUCUCCGAAGCUCCAAAUGGCAUCUCAUGUUAAGCUACUUUGAUAUCAAGGCUUGUUUGACUCUGAUUCUACUUAAGUGUCUAGUAAAGCAUUCAAUAGAUAGAAAAUGAAACUUUGAGUUUCUAAAUGGAAGUCUAAAUUUGAUACUUUUUGAUUCUUUAUAGAAAGAAGUUAUUGAGAAUAUUCUGACAUAACACUUCUACAAGUAGCAUUAUAUGACUUGGAUGUAGCAAUUCUCCAACAUUCCUAGAGAAAUCAAGAAAAUUCUGAAUCAUCACAAGAAAACAAAGUAUGACGUUUUGGCGAUAUGUAAACCGCCCACAAAAAAUAAAAUAAAAUAAGAAAAUACAUCGCUCGAAGCAUCUGAGUUCGACUGACUUGGCUCGAACUUAAGUGAAAGUGAAAACAGAAAGAAAAAUGAUCCGUGUAUCCAUCCCCAUCUGGAAUAUGCGGGGGUUUUGCGAAGAUCUUGCGGUGUGUCAAGACCAAUCAAAUUCUGGCGUACUAUAGCGUAUAUCAGAAGAGAUCGCUGUGAUCAUUGCUAUAUCCGUGUAACAAUAUAGUCGUAUCUAUAUUGCAGUACCGCGAAACAAACUUCUAAUUAAGCUCCCAUUUUAGCUCUCAAAAAAAGGAUAAAACUAAACCACUCUAUUUAAGGUGGUGAUGACUACAGUUAAGAAAUCCAGGGACCAAAAACGGGUAAUGAGUCACCAAUCCUCCGUACUCUAUAACAGGACAAAAAUUAGAAAGACCAAGUCAAAUGUGUUAAUUAGAUUAGGGUUUGUAAUUAAAGGUGGGGAUAAGGUCAACAAACAACUAAAAGCUAUUAAUGCUUUGCCACCUCCCAUUUUUGAAAGAACUUAAUUAUUGCCUACACCACCACAUGUAUACAUAAUAAACUAUAAGUAACACCUCAUAUUUGAUUAUUAUUAAGUAAAAGUGUAUAAAGCUGUUACCCAUUUUGAUCUGGCUGUUUAAUUAAUCUUCAAAAUUUUUAGUUUUGCUACAUAAUUUUUAAAAUUUAUUUGAUUUUAUUCAGUUAAUGACUUUUUAACUUUAAAUUCUAAAUAUAGUAUUCAUCUCUACGAGUUUAAUUAAUAUAUGUUUUAUGAGUCUGGCUACUAUAUUUUUAUAAGUAUAGAUUCCCUUUAUACUCGUAAAUUUUCGGCCGUUAGAUCUACCGCUUUGAUUACUCACUCAAUCUUAGAAAACCACUAUCAUUCUCGCCGCACAUCCCUUCAUCCAAUGGCCGAAAACUUAUGAGUACAAAUGAAUCUAAACUCAUAAUAAAGUAUAGUAAUCAUAGCCUGUAUUUUAUAUAAUUCGUGUAAUUAUAAAUUUAUUGAAAUAAAUAAUGAGUUUAAAUUUUGUAUUCGAAGAGUUACCAAAUAACUUAAAUCAAACAAAUUGAAAUGUUGGAUAUUAAAUUUAAAAUUUUGAUAAAUUGGAUAUAUAGUCGAAUUAAAAUGACGUAUAAUUUAGAUAAGUUUUAUAUAUUUUUACCUUAUUAAUAUUCUAAAACUAGUUUCUAUUCUAAAACUAAAAUCCAGUUUUAUUGAUCUGCAAUAUGUAAAGAUUUUAUAGUAUAAAUUUUGUGAACUUACUGCCUAUAAGGUGACAACUUUGUUUCAGUGCAUAAAAUUUAUCAAUAUUCAAUAUAUAAACCUUUUAAGUUUGAGCACCCAUUUCUCUUAUAUAAGUUUGAUAUUCAUCUAAAUUUAAAUUUUGUUACUUAUGACUUCAAAUUUAAAUUUAGACAGUAACUUUUAAAUUUUGUUAGAUUUUAAACUUUUUAAAUUUUAACUUAAAUAGAAUUUCAAUUCCGAUUCCGAUUCCGAUUCUUCUUACAGGCCAAACAAAUUCGGAGUUUUCCUGAUUUCGUUUUUUCAACCCUGUCUCCUAGUUUCGAUUUUUCAAUCCUGUUCUGAUUUCGAUUCUUAUUUUAAAUCAGAUAUGCUUUUACUAGGGAGCGUGUUGUGCCAAUAAUAUUUAAACACUUGGUACAAGCAAAUAUAUAUAUUUUUUUUUACUUUUAGUUUUUUUUUUUUUUUGGGUCCAGAAAAAAAAAAACCGCGCGCGACAGUCGUUCCCGCCUCACAGUCUUUCUUCCAACAUCGUAAUUAUUGGGAAAGCCAACUGCCCGUCUGUCCCGACUCCCCACAACCUCCUGAAAAAAAAAAGAAAAAAAGAAAAAAAGAAAAAAGAAAAGAGAAAAAAAAGGAAAAAAAAGAAAAAAGAAAAAGCUAAAAGUCCGUGAUAUUCUCACCCAACCUUUUCUUUUAUAAUAUCGCGCGCUGAGCGCCGGUCAAACGAGGGACGAAAUUUAUUGCCAGCACGUUCUCAAUAAAUACGGAAAACUUCAAAUACACCAUGUAAUUUCAUAUUUUCUCACUUUAGUAUCCCCUAGUUUAAAGUGUUUAAUUUAGUACCCUAUAGUUAGGGGUGUAAACGAGCCGAACACGAGCGAGCAGGGGUCGGCUCAUGUUCGGCUCGUUUAUUAAACGAGCCGAACACGAGUUGGCUCGUUAAAGUAUCGAGUCGAAAAAUUCAGCUUGUGUUCGGCUCGUUUAUUAACGAGCCAAACACGAGCUGGCUUAUGAGCUGACCAACGAACAAUAAAUUAAAAAAAAUAUAGAUUAAAAUAUAUAAAAAGUAAAUUUAUAAAAUUUAUCUAUUAUGACUUUUAUCUAAUAGUUGAAACAUUUACAUAUAAAUAAAUCUUUUUAUAAUUAAGCUCGCAUUUAUAUUUAUUUUGCCAAAAUUUAAAUAAUAAAAUAUAUAUUAUAUUAAUUAUUUAUUAUAUAAUAAAAUAUAAAUUAAAUAAAUUAUAUAAAUAAAAUAUAUGAUUCAUUCUAGUUAUCUGAGCAUAUGAGCGAGCUGACCAGCUCGUGUUCGGGCUGUUAAUAAACGAGCGAGCCGAUCUCGAGCUCAUUUCGAGCCGAACACGAGCUGACUCGCGAACAGCGAGUUGGAUUGCCAUCCCUACCUAUAGUUUCAUUUUUGUCUUUUUAUUACCGAUUCCACUAAUUUUUUUUAUUAAAUCAGUGACAAAGUUAAAACUAAAGGGUACUAAAGUGAAUAUUCGAUAAAUCUAGGUGGGGCAUUUGAAGUUUUCAGUAUAUAAUUUAACAAAAUAUUAAUGAAAAAGCUGAUGAAAGAUAAAAAUAAAACUAUAGAAUACUAACUUGAUACACUUUAAACCACAGGGCAUUAAAGUGAGAAAGUGCGAAACCACAUGGGUGGUAUUUGAAGUUUCGUUUAUUUCUUUUUAGAAAUAAACUUAGCAGGAAAUAUGAAUUAAUUAGAAUUCGAACUCGGGACAUCAGGUACUAGCCACCAAAUUUCUGGAAAUGUGAAUUAAUUAGAAUUCGAACUCGGGACAUCGGAUAUUAGCCACCAAAUUUUUGCCACUUGCACUGGGGCCGGUUGGUACAACUUGAAAUGUGGAUGUGGUAAAAUAUAGAUUUUUAAAAGUUAUAGAAAAAAAGUAAAAAAAAAAAGUAUAUAAAUUUUUUUUUUUUUAUAAUUUAGCCUAAAUAUAAAUUUUAGUUGGGAUCUCCCCAACCACAUCUCCCCGAAACCCUGAUUCGCUAUUAUAUAUUAAUUUUAUUUUUAUCGAAUUGUUUGUUGAAUACUUUUUAGUACUAAAAUUUGUUUAAAAAAUUUAAACUCUAGAGCAAAGAGUUGUAGCGAGAUAAAGUGGCACAUUGUGAUGAGUUGAGACUCCUUAAUAAGGCGUUGUUGGGACACCCUAUGCACAUAUACUGCAGCUAAAGGCACGUUUGUUUCACCGUAAAUAAACUUUGGGUUGAAGUAGACUUUGGGUUGAAGUAAAGUUCAGGUGAAAAUUACUUCAUCUAUGAUGUUUGUUUCUAACUGUGAAAAUGAAGUUCUACCAAUUCUACUGUUUGUUUGACAAAAAAUAGAGGACGUAAAAAUUGCAGUUCUUCACUUUUUCUGUUUGUUUCACCGAAAAUUAUUCAAUCCCAACACUCCCAGUAAACUUGCAUCCUAAAUGAUAUUAUUGUUUAUUUUAUAAUUUAAUAAAUAAUAAAUUAUAAUAAAUAAAAAAUAAUAUAAUUAUAUAUCUAUAUAUAUAAUUAUAAAAUAAAAUUUAAAAUAAUUAUAUUGUUUUUUUGCAUAUAAAUAAUAUAAUGCAGCAAAUAAAAUUCGGAAAGAAUUAUUAACAUUUAACAAAUUAAUUUGUCAUCAUUUUUUAAAUAUACAAAUUAAAUAAAAGAUAUAUUGAAACUUAAGUAACCAAAUUUAAUCAUAUUUUAGACAUGCAGCCUAACUAAAAAAUUAAUUACUUCUACAUUACCAUAAUUAAGUUCUCAUUCUUCUUUCCUUUACUCACCAAAAUUGAUUUCGCCCUAUGGGAGAGCGAAGUCAAUUUUGGUAUUUUGGGUAAACUGAAAUUUUGACCACAUUAAUAUUAGAAUAAACCAAACGGCAGAAGUAAUCAAUUUUCGCCGAAAAUCACUUCCCCCUCCCUAUUUACGGUGGAACAAACAUGCCAUAAUAUUAAGGCUAUGAAACAUUUUAAAUCUACUAUUCAAUUUUAAAAAUAAUUAUUUUAUUAUCCAACUUUUUAAUUUAUUUGAUUUGAAUCAGUCAACUAUAUUUUGAUUCUAAAAUUUAAGCUAAUUACUUGCUUUAAUAAAUUUGUAGCUAACUAUGAGAAUUGCAUAAAAUAUACUAACAUAAAAUUGUAAAAAUAAACAAUGAAUAAAAAUUUUGAAGUCAAGUGUCAAGGACCUGACUCAAAUUAAAUAAAUUGAGAUAUUGGAUAGUAAAAUCAAAAUUUUGAAUUAAAGGUGGAUAAUCGAUUCAAAAUAGUUUAUAAUUUAGAUAGGUUAUGUAUGUUUUUACCUAAUAUUGAUAAUAGGCCACUAAAAUGUAAGACAUAUUUUCAUAAAAUAUUCAUUUUUAUUUUAUAUUUUAAAUUUAAAUCUUGGCACUUAAUCUCGCAUUAUUACUAUUCCGUCAGAUCAUUUCGUGCAUAUAAUUUACGACGCAACUAGAUAACUACUAGUAUAAUCAUUUUACCCUCAGAAAUGAUGGAAAAAAAGUUAUUAACAAAUAAUGUGAAAUUUUUUUCAUAAAGUUACGAAUUUAAGAGAAAAUAAAAAAAAAAAGCAUUUCGACCAUUUUUUAGGGUAUAAUAGAUAUUUCAAUAAGUUAUUCGCAUGUGCCACAUAAUUUAUAUAUGGAAUAUUGGUAGAAUAAUAAUAGUGCUUGAUUAGAUUAUGUGCUACAAUUUGAAGUUUUAAAAGUAGUAAAAUAGAUAUUCUUAAAAAUAAAAUGAUAAAAUAUGAAAGCAGGUAUGUAUAAGAGAAUUUUCUGUAUUAUAAUCUAUUUAAUAAUUAGUGUCUCCCUAUCAAAAUAUAACAUAAUAGAUUUAAUAUGUAAUAUUAUAAAAGUUUGCAUAUAAAAAAUAUGUAGUAUGAAAAUUUAUUAUUACAUAGGCAUAAUGGCAUAUAAAUCCACUUUCUAUGAUGUCUAGUAUGCAUAUUUUCCAAAUAAAGAGUAAAAAUACCAUAAAUUCUAGGCUAUAAAUUGCAUAAAAUAUGCAACAUAUUUCAAAAUUUUCAUGGAAGAGUCCUUCAAAUUUAGAAUUUUCAUUUAAUAAUUAUUAAAUACUCAUCUCUCACAUAUAUUCCUUUAAAAAUUGUAUAUGUGCGAAAACUUAAUUUUAAACAUUAUCUUAGGAAAAAAAAUUAUUUAUUCUGUUAAAAAAAAAGGGUGUUCCUUGAGAUAAUAUUUUAAUUCCUAAUAAACUCCUUUAUAAUUAGUUAGAUUUAUAUAAUUAUAUCCCACUCGAGAUUCCAUAUCUCUCCUCUUAUGAAUUAGAUUUCCAUCCCAUUCAAGAAAGAGACAUUUUACUAAUUAAUAUCAAAACAAAAAUUGCAAUUUUUGAGGGGUUAAAAUGAAAAUUCAAAAUUUAUGAUGAUACAUAAAUAAUUAUAUGUUUAAGUGGGUUUUAUUUAUAUAAUUAAAUAAUCAAACUAAAAAACCGUUAGAUGUAACUAAAUAACAAUUCCAGAAGAAACAAAAUCAAGUACGAACAAAAAGAAAGGGUUAAAAAAUGGAUGUAGACCCCUCAACUAUAGGAUAUUCUGAUGUGGGUCUCCAACUUUUUUAUUAAGGUAUCUUAAUUUUUUAAACUUUUAAAAAUUAAGUAGUGUUAGAAAAAUAAAUUAGAGAUUUUAUCAAAUCAAUCAACAAUCUUUUCGUCUUAUAAUAAAUAAAAUUAAGAAAUAAAGGUGAAUAACUAAUAAAUUUAAUUAAAUCAUUAACUGCACUAACUAAGAAUUUUCAAAUAAAAAAAUUUAAACUUAUAAAGAUAAAUAUACAUUCAAAGUUGAAAUUAAAAUGCGCUCAAAUUAAGCAAACUGAAAGAUUAGAUAUUAGACUCAAAAUUUUUAAAAAUUAGAUAGCUAACUCAAAAUAGUUCAUAUUUUAAAUAAGUUUUAUAAUUUUUUUUUAAAAAAAACCCUCCAGUAUAAAAGGCAUCUAAGAUAGAGUGGAGGGAUAAUAUAGUUAAUUUAAUUUGGUAAACUUCAAAUUGCGCUCAUCUGACUCAGUUCAUAUUCACUUUGUUAUUCUGUGGUUUUAAAAGUUUAGCGCAUUUUUUAUUUUGUCAUUUUGUAAUAUUUAUAAAUUUUUUUUUACUGUCUUAUUUCAUACAGCAUUAUUUGAUGAAAUAAAAAUUAAACUACAGGCGAAAUAAAAUACUUUAAACCAUGGAGCGGUGAAGUGAAAAUGAGCUAAACUAUGAUGCACAAUUUGAAAAAGUUUGCUAUAUUUUAUUUCCAGCAAAAUAAAUAAAUAAAUAAAUAAAUAAAUAAAUAGAUAAAGUUAAAAUUAAAUUAAAAAAACCACCACCUCUCUUCUUUUAUCUUCUUUUACGCUCUUCAUUAUCUCCCCACCAAAUCUCCUCUCUCUCACGUGCUCUCUCUCUCUCUCUCUCUCUUUUCUCUUUCCCUUUAACCACUUUUCUCUCCCCUCCUCUCCUCUCAUUUUCCUUCUUUUAACUCUCACCCCUUCAUCCCAAUAAUAUAAAGAUUAAUAAAAAAUUAAUAAUAAUAAUAAUAAUAACAAUAAGAUCAAUCGCAAUCGUUCCCCCUCUCCGGCGCGACGAGCCCUCCGUCCUCGUCGCAGCCGUCGCCGUCGACAAGGAGGCAAUUCCGUGAUCCCGUCAAAUAGUAAGUAAUUCAAUUAUAAAUUUCAUCUGCAAAAAUUUAUUGAUCAAUCAUAUAUAAUAUAUAAUUUUAUUUUGAAAUUUUUUAUACUCUACAUAAAAUAUAGAGGAGAAAAUGAAAGGUGGGGGUCGGCCACGAAGCGGGGGCGGGGACCAUCUAUUGAUGGCGAAAGAUCCAAGACUUAGAAUGCGGCGAAAAUAAUAAUGAUAAUAAUAAUAAUAAUAAUAUUAUUAUUAUUAUUAUUAUUAUUGUUAUUUAUUGUUGGAGAAAAGUUUGAAAAUUUUAAUUUAUUUUUUGUGAUUGAGGGAGUCGGUCUAGGAUCAGCUGACGUAGGCGAGUCCCUGGUCAGAGGAGAGAUUGUUUCCUGAACCUGGCCUACCAUGUUAUUUAAUUAUAAAUUAUUUAUAAUUUCGUGUGCAGAAAUUUUUUAUACGCAGUUAAAAUAAUUCAUAAAAUUUUUUCGCACAAAAAAUUUCAGCUGUCCAUUUGAAAGGUUAUAAGUGAAGGGAGAUCCCUCUCGUCUUUCAAUAAGCAAUUGAUUUUUUUUUUUUUUUUACGUUUAAGAAUUUUAUACAUAAUAUAUUUUUAGAAAUUUAUAACAAAGUUCCGGCAAGAAAUAGCAUUUCAACGAAGACCUUGCUGGAUUAUUAACCAUCUAAUUAAAUAUCAUUAUCAGAAAUAAAAACUAUCCAAAAAAAAUAGUUUUUUACUAUACGGCCGGUAAGAAUAAGAUUUUGCUAAUUCAAUUAACCAUAAUAAAAUUUGCUUAUCAUUCGGAUCCCGACUUAGUCUGUUAUUUUUAGAUUCUGGUUCGGUCAAAACUCAUCUCAUGCUUUUCUUUGGGUGAUUGACAUUGAUAUCAACUGUGCCGUCUCGAUUUGGAUUAUCCAUCUUAAAACUAUUCUAAGUUUUAGCAUAGCUCAAAAUACUAUAGCCAGAUUAAAAUAUUUAGCUCUACUACACCUUACAUAUAAAACUAUUCCACGUACUAGGAAUGUUGGUGUUGGUUCGAUGAUUAGUCCUAUAGGCAUGGUACAUUACACGGCAAGACGGGAUUAUGCGCAUAAAAUUUCUGCACACAUAAUCAUAGUAAGAAACAGUGCGGGGACGAUAUUUUAGUAGGUGUAUAGACCGGGUCGAGGGAGUAAAUUCUGCCGGGUGGGAGUCCAGGGCCAGGGGUAAUGAAAGGGGGUCCGUCGGGAGUUGUUUUCCGGUGGGUCUCGGUCGCAUGCUGUCCACGACCGCCAUAACGACCUCCUCCCUAACCCAAACGCACCCCCCUCACCUUCACUAAUUUAAAGACCCCCCCUCUCAUUUUUAUUUUUAAUUUUAUUUUAAUUUAAUUUUACUUAUUCAAUAAUUCUUACUUACUAAAAUUUGAGCGUCAGAAGACGUGAGAUACUCUAAUUCAGCUUGUUAAAAUAAAAAAAUUUUCAAAUACUAUUAUUGUGGUUUCAUACUUUUUUACUUUAGUACUAUAUAGUUUAAAGUGUAUCAAUGUAGUGCCCUUUAGUUUUAUUUUUAUCUUUUUAUUAUCGAUUUUAUUUUAUUUUUCGUUAAAUCAGUGACAAAGUUAAAAUUAAAAAAUACUAAAGUGAAUAUUCGAUAAAUCUAGAUAGAAUAUUUGAAUUUUUUUGUAUAUAAUUUAACCGAAUAUUAACGAAAAAUAAAAAUGAAACCAUAGGAUACUAACUUGACACACUUUAAACCACAAAGUAUUAACGUAAGAAAGUGUGAAACCACAUGGGUGGUAUUUGAAAUUUAUCCUAAAAUAAAUGAUAUAAUUAAAAAGACCGAUGACUUCAAUUAAUUAAAUUAAAUAAAACUUUAUAAAAGCUCGGUAAAUAAAUUAUAAUGUUUCAAAAAUUAUAUUAUUCAUAAUUUUAAUUAGAAUUAAUUGCAUACUGCUUUUUGUAAAACGUAGCGAGUUGCAAAAAUAUAUUCCUAUAGUUUAAUUUUUUUAUGUUAUUUUUGCAAAAGAUUUUAUAUUUUCAAAUAUAUCUCUGCCGUUAGGAUUCAUUAAAAAAUUUUAGUUAACCAUACAUAAAAUAUUUAACUUUCAUUAGUCAAAAAGAUAAAUUAAUAUUUUUAUCUCUCUUGUAUUACACUUUCUUUUUUUAAUCAAUACCAUGACAAUGGAAACUCUCUUCUUCUUCCUCUUCCUUUCUCUACUUCAUGCUAGUUUUGAAUCCAUAAAUAGAAUUUUUUCGUCAUCAUUCUUCAUCUACAACGUAUGUUAUUUUGUCCAUGUCAAAAGCGUGUUGCUUUUCCCUAUCAAUUUUUUUUAUAACUUUUUCUUAUUUUGCUCAAAAGAAAGGGUUUAGAAGAAUAUGAGUAAGAAAAGAUGUUGCAACAAUAAUAAAUUGUAUUAGAUUUUAAAGAGAAAGAAGAUAACCAUUAAAAGUUUUCGUAAAGAUAUUUCUACACAAUUAUAGCAAUUGGGGUUUUUGGAGGGAUAUAUUUGUGAUGAUAAAUUUGACAUUUCAGUUAUCUGCUGUUAAAAAAUAAAUAGUUCUUUAAUAGGCAGGUAACAAAUAAAUAGUUCUCUAAUAGUUAUGAAUAUCAGUAUAUCACUGAAAUUUUAUAGGGAUAAAAGUUAAGCGUUAAAUUUUGUAGAAAUAUAUUUAUUAUUCGAUAUGUUUACAGAAAAUUGUAUGCAAUUAACCCUUUUAAUUACAAGAUAAUUUAAUAUUUCGUGCAUUCAACGGUACUUAAAUAUUAGGUAGGUAAGUGGAGGGAGCCAUAUUUAAAUAAGUUUUAUUUAUACUUUUUUUUUUUGUCUCUUUUUAUUAUAAAUUGUAAAUAAAUAAAUAUUGAAAGGAGUGUACUUUUUUUUAAAAAUCAUUUUUUUAAUUAAUGUUUUCGGGUUAGUUACGUUGAAUCGCUAUUAAAUGCUAACUUGAGGUGGAAUUAGCGCAGGGGAAAAGAGGAGGGAGAAAGAGAGAGAGAGAGACGGGGAGGGGGGAGUGGGAGGCGAAGAAGAAGAAGAAGAAGAGAAUGGGGGCGGCGGCGGAGCCGGCGCCGGCGCCGGGGGAGGAGGUGGCGGCGGAGAUGGGCGGAGGCGGCGGAGGGGGGAGUUUGGAGAGGAUUCUGGUGUCGGUGCGGCUGCGGCCGCUCAACGCGAAGGAGAAGGAGAAGGGCGACGCCUCGGAUUGGGAGUGCAUCAACAACACCACCAUCAUCUUCAAGAACAGCCUCCCCGAUCGAUCCAUGCUCCCCGCCGCGUACACCUUCGGUGAGUGAGUCGUUUGAUCCGUUCGAAUUGGUGCAAACGAAUCGGAAUCGUGGUUGGUGCUUUGAUUGAUUGGGGGAUUUGGAAAUGGUUUCGAUUUCGGGGUUUUUUUUGUGGCAAUUUGGUUGGGAUUUUGGUGAAAUUCGUAAGCUAAUACCCUGAAUUUGAUGUUUCUCAUCGGCUUUUUUUUUUGAAUCGCGGUUGGAUUUUGGAAUAAUGGGAUGGCUCGCGAGCGUUCCAAAUUCGGGGUUCUUUUGACAAUGUGGCUAGUAUUUUGGUGAAAUUUGUAAGCUAAUCCCAUGAAUUUGAUGUUUUUUUCUCGGUUUUUAUGCAUCGCGGUUGUUUUUUUUGAACAGGAUGAUUCGAGAGCUUUUGAAGUUUGUAAGCUAAUGCCAUGAAUUUGAUGUAAUUUAUUUUGAUUUAUAUUUGUAAGCAGCUUUGAUGCAGUGAAAAGCUCUGAUUUUAUUACCCUUUUAUUUUUUUUUUAUUUUUUUUUUUUAUAAAACAGCUNCGCAACGUUUUUCUACAUUAGAUGUUUUUCAAGUAUUGUUUAGCUUUUUUGCUCAUGAUAUUUGCAAUAACUGUUAUACAAUAUACAAUCUUUAUGUUGUUGACUAUUUGCGUGCUUAUGCUCCUUCUAAUGAUUUUGAUAGUUUGAUAUUUUGUAGGCAUUUUGGUUGAUUGCAGUUUAAGUUGAUUUUUCUCUUCAUGGUUUCACAUAUUCAUUCCUUUGUUGCAUUGAUCAAAAGUCUUAUACUUUUAUGCUUCUUUCUUUUUAAAAUUUAGUUUUGCUUUUUCUGGACAGGCGUUUUUGCUUGCUUUUUUAGUUUGAUUUUUUUUUUUUUUUUUUUUUUAUAGUAGUUUUUGGGGCUUAUUAUCCUAGAUUUUUCUCCAAAAAAAAUGUUUUUUUUUUUGGUAAUAAUCUGUCUUAUUCUGCACUAAUUUCUUUUUGCUCUUCUUCGGUUAUAGAUAGAGUAUUUGGAUGCGAAUGCGCCACAAGGCAAGUUUACGAGGAAGGAGCAAAGGAAGUUGCCCUGUCGGUUGUCAGCGGAAUAAAUUGUACGUACUAUUUUCACGCUGAUCCAGCUCCCUGGUUUUGUAGUUUGAGUAAAAUGUAGUAAUUUAAUGUAGUUUUUCAUCAGCGAGCAUAUUUGCGUAUGGACAAACGAGUAGCGGAAAAACGUACACAAUGACUGGAAUAACGGAGUAUAGCGUAGCAGAUAUUUACGACUACAUACAAAAGGUAAGUUACUGUCGAUCCUAUCAGGAAAUUAAAUCAGUAACAUUGUUCAAUUUGAUUUGUUGAUUAAGUGGUUUUUUUUUUUUAUUCUCCUUUUGCAGCAUGCGGAGAGAGAAUUUAUUCUAAAAUUCUCAGCUAUGGAGAUAUACAACGAAGCCGUGAGGGAUCUUUUGAGUGCUGAUACCACUCCUCUCCGGCUUCUUGAUGAUCCAGAGGUAUAGUUCUUGCUUUUAGUGACUGUGGUCACAAUUUUUUAGCAAUUUUCAUACUUCACCUGUAUAUUUAUAUUAUCUUAUUAUUUGUUUUUUUUUCUUCCAAUUGUCAAUAGAAAGGGACUGUUGUUGACAAACUCACAGAGGAAACUCUGAGGGACCAAGAUCAUCUCAGGGAGCUCCUUGCUGUUUGCGAAGGUGAGGGAAUAAAACUGUUCAGAGUUGUAGACAUUUUAUUGCUUUUCUUUUUUUUUUCAUGUACUAAACUGAAUAGUUUGACAUCUGUCACAGCUCAAAGGCAAAAUGGAGAAACCUCCUUGAAUGAAAUGAGCUCCAGAUCUCAUCAAAUACUCAGAUUGGUUUGCUUCUUACUCAAUAAUUUAGAUUUUACCUCGAAAUUGAAUUAAAUGCCAAAGUUUUUUUUUUUUUUUUUUUUUUUUUUUUUUUUUUUUGAUUCUUCCUAUUUGCAGACAAUUGAAAGUUCUGCUCGAGAAUUCUUGGGAAAAGAUAGCUCAAGUACCCUUGCGGCCUGUGUGGUAUGAAAUUUAUUUCAUGAAUUGGUCAUGAAAUUUCUUACUUUCAAUCAAAAGGGGAUGAUGAUGAACUUUGAAUUUGUUCUUGCAAUACAGAAUUUUGUUGAUCUAGCUGGAAGUGAGCGUGCUUCUCAGGCAUUAUCAGCUGGUGUGAGGCUAAAAGAAGGUUGCCAUAUUAAUCGAAGUUUGCUUACUCUUGGAACUGUUAUUCGCAAGCUAAGGUUGUUAUGCUUCCUUUUCCUUUUGCAGCUUUUCUGUUUGCACCACUUACUGUUAAGCUUCUUGAAAUUCUUUUUUAAAACACAGUGUCGAAAUAGCAGAUAGAGUACAGUUGACAUUGUCAUCAAGCUAUCUUUCUUUCCAUGAUUUCAUAGGUUUAAUUGUUAGAAAGUCACAUUAGAGAAGGUUGUUUAAGAAUGAAAUGGUUUGGAACCUAAUCGAUUUUAAAUGCUAGGCAUGACAUUGUCAGCAAACUAGAGAAGAAGCUCAAACAGCAAGGCUUUUUUCAAGAUCUUACCUAUUGCGUCAAGUGAAAAAUGAACGGCAGAGAUAGUACAAUCGUUUCCAAAUUUUAACAGGAACACUAACUUGUGCUUACUUUGAUGCAGCAAGGGAAGAAACGGUCACAUCCCAUACCGAGAUUCGAAGCUGACACGGAUAUUACAGCCCUCGUUAGGAGGUAAUGCAAGAACAGCCAUAAUUUGCACAAUGAGCCCUGCAAGAAGUCAUAUCGAGCAAUCCAGGAACACUCUUCUAUUUGCAAGCUGUGCCAAAGAAGUAGCUACCAAUGCACAGGUUAAUGUAGUGAUGUCUGACAAGGCACUGGUAAAGCAUCUGCAAAGAGAACUCACUAGAUUAGAAAGUGAGUUGAAGUACCCUGGAUCUGCUUCUUGCACCAUUCACUCUGAGGCCUUGAGAGAGAGAGAUGCCCAAAUUAGAAAGGUAUUGAUACACGUCUAUAGGUUAAUUUCUACAUUUGUUUUUAACUUAUAUCUGCUCUCAAUUGAAGUUCUUUUGUCGUCAAUGUGCUUCUACUAUCAUGUAAUUGUAGAAUUAGAUGUAUACCUACAUGACUUAGGCAAGCUAUCAGGAAAUUUUGGUAGUCGACUAAUUACACUUAUUUUGGGGUUUGCUUGUUUAUUAUUUGUGGGCACUUACCUUCGUUUGGUUAAGUGCAUUAUGCAUGUUUUAAUCUGCUUAAAUUGGAAUUUCUCUUCCAUUUUUUUCCAGAUGGAAAAAGAAAUGAAGGAGCUGAUGCAGCAAAGAGAUCUUGUUCAGUCUCGGCUGGAGGACUUGCUCCGGUCUGUUGGGGAUGAUCACGACCGCAAUUCAAGACGAUGGGUAUUUUUUUAACAUUUUACUCUAUAUAUUUCACUCUAUAAGAUGAAUACUAUAUUCUCUUCUCUUUUUUUUCCUUCUUCUUUAGGAUGAACUUAGCCAAUCCUCGAUUUCCCAUGUACGAGACGCAUCUGAAGAUGCAUUCUCAACGUCCGAGACAUACGGCAUAGCCUACCAAGAUCAAGAUUUGGGCUCUGCAAUGUUCGAUCAUUUAAAUUCACGCAACAUCCACGAUGAACAUAACAUAGACCAUACAGAGAAUCCAAACAAGAAACAAGCGAACUCACCUACGCACUCAAUCAGCAGUUCUAGGGCUUCUGGUAAGAUUCUGUAUCAAAGACAAGAAGAUUGUGAAGACCAAUGCAAGGAAGUCCAGUGUAUUGAGAUAAACAAGUUGAGUAGGGGCAAAAGUGAAGAUUUUAACCUCUUAUUUGCUGACGAAAGCGACAGUCUGCUACCUCUUACUGAUGCAGACAAGCUUGAACAUCAUGAACAGAAGCAUUCCGUGGGCACAGAUUUGUCAAGUGAACAUGAAGAACAACAAUCCAAUACCGUAACAAAGAAUGUAGACAAUUUUGUCAAACCAACUCCUAAUGAAUCAUCUAUGGUGGAUGCAAAUGUUAGCAAGCCAAAGACUAUUGAAUCUCUGCAUAUGGAGAGCAAUAAUACGAAUUCCAAGGUGUUUGCUGUAACUAGAAGUAGAAGUUGCAGGGCAAGCUUGACGAUGACUUCUACUUGGUUCGAGGACUCAGAUCUCACUAACAAUAGGACACCACCUGAAAGUUAUUUUAGGGACUACUCAGGAAGGACUGAAGCUAUCCGGAGAAGUCUCUUUUCACCAAAUUAUAAUAAUCCAAAUGAUAGGUUCUUAUUAGAAGGAUCUCAGUCUUCUGAAAAAUUCAGCCAUGAUGAGAUGAUUAAGGCGGAGGAUAUAAGCACUAAUUCUGUUCAUUCAAAGAUAGACGCCAACUCUGAAGAAGGUGUUAGCAUUGUUGGUAGCUAUGUUGAAGGUCAAAAGGAGAUGAGCGAAAAUCAGUACCUGAAACAACUCCCUGAUGACCAGGUUUGAAUAACGUUCACUACAUGGAAGUUUUGGUUUUUUGUGCAUUCGUUUAUUUUUCUUUGCAUCUUUUUACGACUUUGUAAAGCUUGUCGUACCAAAAUGCAACUACGCUACAUCUUUGUUGAUAAACCAUGUUGUACUGUUAAAGUUGGUUUAUACAUAAACUUGGAAAAUUGAGAAAACCCCCACUACAGCUGGAAGGCUCCAUAAAUAGUAAGUAUAUACUUUUGGAAAUGAAGUUAGAUGACGAAGUGACUUUGCUAGUUUAUAGGGCAGACCGCUAAACUGUAGAAAUCUUACAAGAGCUUAUGCUUGUAUUGCUUUAGGACCAUAAGUAAUUACUUAUCUGUUAUUGCUACGAUGCUAGAUAAUUUAUCACUUUGGAUGAUUUGGUUUGAUUUUCGUAAUUUGGCAUCUGUUUUGGAAUUACUACAUUCUAGUUCAAUUGAUCACAUACACUGUUAUGCUCUUUCCCUUGCCUUAUUUUAAUGCAUCCUGGUACCGCUUGUUACCAACCUAACUUUUGUGUAUUGUGCAAUUUUAGUAUUCACGCCGCACUACCCCCAGCGAGGACUUUGGAGUAGAGAUAACUGUGAAGGACGUUGGUGUGGACCCAGUGUUAAGCUCUUUGUCUGAAUCGCCAUCACGAUGUCUCAUGGAAUUCGAGAGAAAGCAGCAGGAGAUAAUUGACCUUUGGCAUGCGUGCAAUGUCUCCUUAGUCCACAGGACUUAUUUUUUUCUACUUUUCAAGGGAGACCCCUCAGACUCGAUAUACUUGGAAGUUGAGCACAGGAGGCUGUCCUUCUUGAGGAACUCCUUUUCAUCUGACCUCGCGAAACAAGCAGCAGAGGGCGAACUCAAUGGUGUUGUUGCAUCAAGGUGCAAUCUCACAUUCGUUUACUUUUCAUUACUCUUCUUUUACGAAAAUUAUAGUUGCUCCAGUUUUACACAUAAUGAUGUAAGCAAUGGACUAGACCAAGUGUUCGAAUAAAAGAUUCGAACUAAAAAAAGUUAUUUUUAUUUUAGAUGAAUCUUAUAUAUUUGAGUUUAGUAUUGAAAUAUUAGAACUUGCAAAAGUAGCAUCGACAGAGGGUUUCAUCUUUUCAGAGAAAAGCAUUUGACAGAGUAGUAAUCUGCAUAUACGCAGAAAAUUUCGAUUAACGGGUUCCUAAUUUAUCGGAACGUUGAAUUUAUUUAUUUUUUCUACAAAACGACUGUAAUUAAAGUUUGAGGUGGGCUCAUGGUGUUCACCGAUUGUUCAUUUACCCAUUUUUUAUUGGCAGCCUGAAAAAUCUUCGUCGUGAGAGGGAGAUGCUGUACAGGCAGAUGCUAAAGAAGUUGCCUGAAAAGGAAAGAGAGAGCCUUUACAACAAGUGGGGUGUUGCAUUGAACUCAAAACAAAGAAGAUUACAGUUGGCCCGCCGCGUAUGGACUAAAACCGACAUGGAGCAUGUGCGAGAAAGUGCUUCGCUUGUGGCCAGGCUUAUCGGUCUCUUAGAACCGGGGCAAGCCCUAAAGGAGAUGUUCGGAUUAAGCUUCACACUCGCACCGCAGUUAACUAACAGAAGAUCAUUGAGCUGGAAACCAGGGAUGUCUUUCACUUAAAAAUGAACGAAGAUUUGGAUAGUCACUAUUCUCCUUUGGCUUGACUAAUCGACUAUUUUUUAAAGUUCCCAGUGUUUGAUUUAUGUGAUUCUUUUGAGUGUGUCAUUGUUUUAUAGGGUGGGUGGCUUGUAAAUUCGAAGUGAUUAACCAAAUUAUACCAAUGUACUGUGUAUUGUGUGUUUGUAUGUGUACACUUGAAUGAAUAAAAAGCCAGCAUGGCUAUUUGUUGCUUUAGUAAAACAUGGUGAAUGAAUUUUAAGUAUGUUCUUUCCUAUAAUGUAGUGGCCUUUAUUUUUUCUUUCAUUAAAAUUGAUAAUGCUUCCUCUUUCUGAGGCAAUUUGUUGCAAGAAAUGUGGCAUGAUUUGUGAAAACCUGAGUUAUUAAGAUGGUUCUUGCUAUUUUCCCAAGCCUCAUACCUUUCCAAAAAGAAAAGAAAAGAAAAGAAAACAAAAGAAAAGAAAAGAAAAAGAAAAAGAGAAAGAAAUCCUUUACCAGAACAAGAAACUUUAAUAUUGGAUCCAAGAUCUUCUAGGUUCCCCAAUCUUUUGCUUUUGCGAGUACAGAAGUUGUUCUAAAGUGCAAACACUUAAAUCUUAUUUUUCCUUCGGGUAAUUAUUUGAGACUUUGCUUCUAGUAAUAUGCGAAAAUCGAAUCCUCAGCAUUCAGAGAAAAAAGAAAGGAAAAGAAAAGAAAAGAAAAAAGAAAGGUAUCACUUUUUUCUUAUAUAUAUAAAUAUUGUGGUCGUAUAGAGGUUUCGAAAUCAUAUUAGCCAGAAGAUCAAUCUUACACAAAAGUACCAAAAUGCCUCGAAAAGAAUUUCUAUUAUUUAUCCAUUGUUACAGUUCAGGACUUAACAUUUCUCUCCAAAACCUUAGAUUUGGCAACCUUUUAAUAUACUUUUAUCGCAUUCUUUUCAUAUAAAAACAAUAGUAAUCUGACUUAGUUACUCUCAGAUUUCCUCUUAGCACUGAAGCAAUAGAUCUGACUACAUCAACUGUCCAUAUUUUAAGUAUUAAAUUUUUGAAUAUAUUAUCUAGUUAUUUUCGGUCAACGGUUUCACAAUUUUUUAAAAUACCAUCCAUGUAUUGAUUGUUUCAGAAUUUAUCAGUAAAAGAAAAUAAAUAAAAAAAAACCUACAAUCUGUGAAGAUUAUUCAAACAUCAGCUGACACUCUGACUAGUAUCUGAAACAACAUGCAGCCCCUCUUUUGAAGACAUCUAAUCUUCAUUUGAAUAAUUGAAAGGGAAAAAAAAAGAAGAAAAAAAGAGAGCAUAUUUCAGUGUAAAGAUUAUAGUGAGAAGGCAAAAAAAAAAAGAAAAGAAAAAUUUGAGCAUAGUUUGGUAUAAAAAUUAUAUUUAUCAAUUUGCUAUAAUAUGCAGUGCACGUUCUUAUUGUUCUAUUGCCUCAAAGAAUGAAUUCAUUCAAUAAGGCAUGAUUUGUAAAGUGUAUUUUCAUUUUCUGGUGUUUUGAUGCACUAGAUGAUAAUUUUCAAAAAUCAAGAAAUUCGAUUUACAGAGACUUCAAAUACUUUAAAUUAUGUCAGAUGGUACCGAUUGUUGAUUGGAAAUUCCACUUAUUGGGUGUUUAGUUGUGCGCAAAACUAUGAAAAUAGUUUUAUGUGGAAAAAAAAUUUCGUAGAAAAAAAGAUUUAUGUUUUGUAGUAUUUGGUUUGUAGUAACAAAAAAAAUAGAUUUUCAUCAAUAUUUUUUUUAGAUCCGUAGAAAAAAAAUGAAUGAAAAAAAUUUUACGCAGUUUGAGUUUUUGUUUGCCGUCGAAAAUCGGCGGAAAAAAAGCACUCUAUUUUUCUUAAAUCUAUAAAAAUAAUGUUUCAAUUUUUUUUUAUUUUACAGCUAAAAAAAAUUUCAAUCCGAAAAGUCAUUUCGAUACAUUUCAAGGCCACCCUCAGUGAAAACGAUGUGAUAGACAAAAACCUCCUUGUUAUCAAUAGAAUAGUAGCUGAAUUCAUAUUAUAUACAUCAGAAGUUUUGAGCGCAAAUUUUGUUAGAUUCUUUACUUCUAUUUAAUGUUCUAUUAAAAUUCAAAUCCAUGUCUUGCUCUAACGUAGUGUUUUUCAUCUGAAUUAGAAUACAUAAGAUUUUUAUUCUCCAAAGCAGUGUCCUUUUAUUAUAAUAAUUCUCUAUGUUUACUACCAUACUGAGAUCAAAGACUCCAAUUUGAGGGUUGGCGUAAUUCGCAGGUAUAAUUCAUGGGUGGAACUCAAAAGUUUCGUCAAACUAACCACAUCAUUCGUUGGACACAACUUUAAGUGCACGUUUGGUUCAGAAGAGGAAUCGAAAUCAAAAUAUGGAUGAAAAUGGAUCGGAAGAAUAAAAAACACAAUGAUAUAAAAAAUAAUUUAUUUGGUUCAUAAGAGGAAUCGAAAUUAGAAUCAUAAUCAAAUUUAAAUUAAAAAAAUUACAUUUUUGUUAAAAUUUAAAUUUGUUAUUCAAAUUUUUAAUUAAAAUUUGAAUCUAAAUUUGAACUUACAAUUUGAAGUUAAAAUUUGAAUUUAACAAAUCAAAUUUAGAAUUCAUUUCUUUCAUUUACUCUUUGCUACUAAUUUGGAUCCUAACAUAUAACUUUAGAAUUCAUUUCCGAGGCUAGCAGGGUAUGAAGAUCAACAGAGAGAAGUCAGAACUUUACUAUCUAGGCCAAAAGGCUGGUAAAGGAGUUAGAUUGGCAAACAUUCUUGAGUGUAGAACGGGAGCAUUUCCGACCAAUUAUCUGGGAUUACCCCUAUCUCCCAGACCACCUUCCAAGGAGGCAUGGAGGGGGAUUAUUCAAAAGUUUCAUCAUAAAAUCGGAGGCUGGCAAGCUAAACUUCUAUCUAGGGGGGGCAGACUCAUUUUGGUUAACGCGGUCCUCACAAACAUACCCCUUUUCUCCCUAGCAGUAUUCAAGGCUCCAAGGUGGGUGAUUAAGCGCAUCGAAGCACUUAGGAGAGACUUUUUCUGGAACGGCGGGCGCAAUCCCCCCGGUAAGGGCUGCUUGGUGGCAUGGAAAAAUGUCUGUAGAAGUAAGAAGGAAGGUGGACUGGGCAUCCUAGAUGUAGCAUCCAUGAAUCUAGCCUUACUGACAAAGUGGUGGUGGAAAUUUCACACGGCUCCAGAUCUGCAAUGGAAUAAGCUAAUUCGUGUGCUGUACUAUCGAAGGAGAAUACCUUUGAGAGAAGGCAAAUCUUUCAGACCCUACUCAAACUGGUGGAAGGGGGUUCUAGGGCUCAAUACGAUUUUCAAAUGGGGAACGGCAUACAAGCUGGGUAACGGGCAUUCUAUAGACUUUUGGUCGGAUAGGUGGAGUGGGGAGAAAACGCUGAAUCUUACUUUUCCGGAGGCCUAUCAGGCGGCGGUGUGCAAAAACCUUAAGGUUAGCGAAUGUUUCACGAGGGGGGCUUGGAACUGGACCAGGAUUCUAGGAACCGAUGUUGGACAAGUGCAAGGGCACGUACCCAACCUAACGGAGCUUGUACAAAGGAUUUCUGCCUUCAUCAUCGACCAGAGACCGGACACGAUCCAAUGGCGAUGGAACACUGAUGGUCAGUUUUCGGUAAAAUCGGCCUAUUCGGCACUGACGGACGGGGGGGUGAGAGAUGCAUGCGUUUCCAAGAUCUGGGAACUGAAAAUUCCUUUAAAGUUUAAAGUGUUCGGCUGGUUAGUGCUCAAGAAAAGAACUCUGACUCGUGAUAUACUUGUCAAGAGAGGGAUUUCAAACGAUCCUACCUGUGUCCUAUGUGGAACGCAUGAGGAAACUGUGGACCAUCUGUUCUGUCGAUGUGUGUUCAGCAAAUUUAUCAUUGUAACAGGGGUGGACGAUAUUCGGGCACAGGAUCUGGGAGACGAAGUGGAACUAGUUUGGGAAAGAUGGUCGGAUAGAAAGGAUCGGAGCAUGAAGAGAACUAGACUCACUAAUCUCGUCGGCUGCUGGUGGACUAUCUGGAAGGUAAGGAAUGAUUUGUUGUUUAGGAAUAGACUACCGAACCCCGGANNNNNNNNNNNNNNNNNNNNNNNNNCAAUACUCAACUACAAGCCCGACAGGAAGAUCGAGAAAGCGAAGAUUAAAGAGAUCUCCAGUUGCUGAGGUAUUCUGCCGGCUAAAUUCACAAAGAGAGAUCAAGAUGCGUCAGAUUAUUAAAUGAACGGAUGAAUUCCGGACGGUGCUUCCGGCGAAAUAGUUCCCGCUAAGAUCGAGGGGAACUAGAUGUGUAAAACAUCACAGAAGGAUCGAUCUCACCGCGCAGCUCAUAAAGCGACGAGUUCAUGUAGUCUUGAUCCAUGUAGUUGUUUCGAAGGUUGAGCUUCACGGCGUGGCCGGUGUUGUCGUCGCAGGCUACUCCGUUCAACUGCAGCAGUCCCGACCUGCCCAUAGACAAGCGGUUGCGGCGUCAGAUAGCCGCUUUGAAGGCGAGGAAGCGCCUUCCUUUCGGUCUCGAAGCAUGCGCUUGUUGGGAUGGCUUGAUGAUAGCUAAACACAGAGUGGAGACAAGUAGGUAAGGUGCAUGGUUGCAGUGGUGCUGAUCCUCGUUUACUUUCUCUCUCUGUCUCUUCUCUAUCUUUUUGUCCUUGCUUAAGCAUAGUUACUAAUAGUAAUAUUUUCCUUAAAACUUUACAAAUAUCUUAUUUACUUUGAGACAAAUACCUAUGCGAUUUUAAAAAAUCUCUUCAAAUAUCUCAUUUCUCAAGGAAAUACCUAUGCUGUGGGAAUUGAGUAUUUAGAAAAAUUAUUUUAGUAAUUUCAAGAGGAUAAUUUAAAAAAUUUUGAAUAAUAGUCAAGAAGUAAAUAAGAAAAGCCCACAAACAUAUAGCUGUUUUUUUUCAAAACUAAAGCAAUAUUAAAACACAACCACAGCACAUAAAAAAAAAAAAAAAAGAAAAAAAAAGAAGAAGAAAGAAACAAAAUAAAACAAAUAUCUAUGCAAUAUCAUUUAAGCUCCUUAGAAUUUUUAGAAUUAUUUAUUUUUUUUUUGAGAGAGAAAAUAAUAUUUAUUACUUUCAUUCAUUUUUAUUUCUAAAUAAAUUAAUAAAAAUAUAAAGUAAUUACUUUUCGAACUAAAGCUGUAGGUACUAAUCAUUAAGCCUCUUUGCACUUGCGUUAGGACGGUCGGUGACAUUUUUGUAAUCUGUGAUUUAAAAUUUUGUAUGUAAGUGAACUUAGUUUUCACAUGCUAAGAUAAUAUUAACAAGAAAAAAAAGUGAAAUUUUGACUAUUAAUAAUUACAUAUUAUUAAAUUACAUGGCCAAAAAAGUCUCCGAACGAAUUAAGCUUGAAAUGUAUAACGUAUAGAGGGGGCAAAAGACUCCAGGGUGAACACAUCAACAUUGGGAGAGAGAGAAAGGAUCAAAGAGCGCGAGAGGAAACGUAGAGAGGAGGUGGCUAAGAAGUUGAACGUCGGUCACAGUAAAACUCACGAAUCAAUAAUCUAUAGAUAUCUAUAGAUUGUCCACAUUUGGGAUAAAAAUAAAUUAAAAAUUCUAUUAAAUUUAUUUCUCAAAUAUAAGCCAUUUUAAAAGCCCUAAUUUCUUUUUUUAAAAAAAUAUAGCUCAUCUUAACCUUUCAUUUGUCCAAAAUUGGUUGUUUUAGACAAAUAAAUUAAAAAUUCUAUUAAACUUAUUGACAAUUACAUCAAAUUUAGUGAUUUUAAUUGCUUUAUUUAAUAAUCUGGAUUAACUCAUAUAAAAAAUUAGAUAAUUAAAAAAAACGCCAUUAAAAUAGAGGAAAAAUGUACAGAGACCCCUCGAAGUUUGGAUUUUGGCAAGUAGGUGCUUGCAAUUUUAAUGUGGCAAUUAGAUAUUUUAUAAGCUUUUCGAAUAACAAAGUAGACAAACCUUUUUAAUUCAUAGUUUACUAAUUACACUGCCCGUUUUGAUUGUAUGUCUUGCAAUUCGAUCUUAUAAGCUUCAAAAUGCUAUAAAAAUUAUUUUUUCUUCAAAAUGCACAUUUGCAGCCAUCUCUUAGUUUGAUUUCAAAGCAAUCUUUCUGAUUUUGGUCGAUGAAGAAAAAAGGUGUUUCACUUUUUCGAGCCCGUAUAUAGAGAGAUAUAGGUUUAUAGGUAGUGAGAAUCCUUUCUCUUUAAUGGAAAAAAAAAUUAAUUAUCAAAAAAUCAUCCUGCACUUUUUUCAUAUUUCAAAUAACUUAUUAUAUAAAAAAAAUUAAACAAUAUCAACCAUCCAUUUAGACUUAGUUUGGAAUUGAAACACAUCUGACGCUAUUAGAUAAAAUGGAGUUAAGACAAAGUAUAUAGGGCUGAUAUAAUUCUGCGUUCUCCAGUGACAUCGCAAAAAAUAUAUCAUAACGAUUAUCGGCAUAUACAAAACGCAAUAAUAUAUAAAAAUAAAUAGAAUAUUUUUCAUCGUACUUUCUCACCAUACAAUAAUGCAAUCCACUCUCCGUACCAAACAGAGCUUCUAUCUCAAAUACGCCUUCAUUAGCGUAUGUUGAUAGCACACAUUUAAGGCAUAAUCCCUUCAAACGCACUUCAAGUACCAAACACUAGAGCAGCCAUGAAAAAGCGUUCAAAUAAAAAUUCCCUUCGUCCCGUAUUAGAAUUCAGUGUUUAUUAAUAUCAACUCAUCUCCACGUAUCGCCAUAAACUUCUGCAAAAGUUAAUAAAUUUAAAUUAUUGGAUCUAUUUCACGCAAGACUGAAGUAGCAAGAUUGAUGUUAUUUAAAACUUUUAUGUAGGGAUACUUGAACACGGGAAUGACUUACAGGAGAGUUUUUUGCUAUAAUAUAAGCUGAAAAAAGAUCUGACUACUUUCUGCCCAUAAUAAGAGAAAAGUAUAUGUUUUUUUUUUGAGAAAAAGUAGCACGCUACCCAUUCAUUCAACCAAGAAUGAUAAUUAGGCUACAAGGGUGGGCAGCCAGGCCCCGAAAAAAAAAAAAAAAAAAAAAAAAAAAAUGGAUAGUAAUUUUGAUCAAGUCGAGAGAAACGAUCCCACUCCUUCACUAAUAUCCUACAGCUUUGGACAGCUAGUAAGCCCCAUCUUCUCAAGGUGGACUUCAGUCUUCUGCUGGCUAAGUGGUUUAGUCAAUGGGCCUGCCACGUUAUCCGUGGAGUCUACUCUCUGCAUCUCGAUGUAUUUCUUGUCGAGGUAGUCGCGUAUAUUAUGAAACUGCCGCUCUAUAUGCUUGGACUUCUGAUGAGACCUGGGCUCCUUAGCUAAGGCUAUGGCGCCAUUGUUGUCGCAAUAGAGUGGUAUGGCAUCCGAUAACAUCACACUUAAUUUCGCGACAAACUUCAUGAAUCAGAAGACCUACAUCAAAUGCGGCGAUAUACUCUGCUUCCAUGGUAGGGUGGUUGUUUGGAACUCUUCCAAUACACAGAGCCACCAUUGCAUAAGAACACACAUCCUGACGUAGACUUUCUAUCGUCAACAUCAGACAUAAAGUUUGAAUCAGUAUAUCCUUAUACUUUCAACUCUCUUUCUCCAACGACCAAGAACAUAUUCUUAGUGCUUCUCAAGUACUUGAGUAUGUUCUUCACAGCAAUCCAGUGCUCAUCGCCUGGAUUAGAUUGAUAUCUACUUGUGACACUCACAGCAAGCUCGAUAUCAGGUCGUGUACAUAGCAUGGAGUAUAUAAGACUCCCUUAAGCUGAGGCAUAAGGGAUCUUACUCAUACGUUGAAUCUCUUCAAAUGUAUUGGGGCACAUUUUCUUAGAGAGAUAAAUUCCAUGUGUAAGAGGUAAAAGUCCUCUUUUGGAGUUUUUCAUGCCGAACCUCUUCAGCAUCUCCUCUAUAUACAUUUUCUGUGAGAGGCCCAGGAUCCUUUUAGAUCUAUCUCUAAAGACCUUUAUCCCUAAAAUAUAGGAUGCUUCUCCUAGAUCUUUUAUGGAGAAUUCUUUAGACAACCAUAUUUUAACUAAAGUCAGUAUUGGAAUGUCAUUCCCAAUUAAGAGAAUGUCAUCCACGUACAAUACGAGGAUUGUGAUAACUCUCCCACUGACCUUUUUAUAAACACAUGGUUCCUCCUCAUUCUUAACGAAAUCAAACGAUUUAAUCAUGUCAUUAAAACGAGUAUUCCAAGUCCGACAUACUUGCUUAAGUCCAUAAAUGGACCGUUGCAACUUGCAUACUUUGUGACUUUCGUCACCAGAAGUGAAACCCAGAGGCUGCUCCAUAUAGAUAUCUUCUUCAAGAUAUCCAUUUAGGAAGGCAGUUUUCACAUUCAUUUGCCAGAUCUCAUAAUCAUAGUAUGCUGUAAGGGCAAGCAGUGUUCGAAUGGAUUUAAGCAUGGCCACAGGUGAAAAGGUCUUCUGAUAGUCAAUGCCUUCGCGUUGACUAUAACCUUUCGCAACCAGCCUUGCUUUAUAGGUCUCUACCUUUCCAUCCGAACCUAUCUUUCUUUUGUAGAUCCAUUUACACCCGAUAGGUACUAUACCUUCUGGUGGGUCUACCAAAAUCCAAACCUGGUUGGAAUGCAUUGAGUCAAUUUCUGACUUCAUGGCAUCCAGCCAUUUCUCGAAAUCGAUGUCAGACAUCGCCUCGUUGUAAGUUUUGGGAUCAUUUUCAUGUUCCCUAUCUCCCAUGAGGAACAUUUCCUCUACUUCCUCUGUAACGAUACCUAAGUAUUUUUUAGUGGGAUGUGAGAUUCUACUCGACCUACGAGGUGGAGGAGGUACUACAUGUACUGGCUCAGCUUGAAUAGGUUCUGUAGGUUUGAUGACUCGUUGCUCUUCAGAGACUCUCUCUUCGAGCUCAAAUUUUCUCCCACUAGCUUCUUGAAUAAACUGUUUUUUCAAAAAAAUAGUAUGUUUGCUCACAACUACAUUGUGAUUCUCUGGGAUAUAAAAAUAGUAACCUAAAGUUUCUUUAGGGUAUCCAAUAAAACGAGCUAUCUCAGACCUACCCUCUAACAUUUUCGCCUGUAGUCGCUUAACAUAGGCCGGACACCCCCAAAUAUUGAUAUGACCAAGACUUGGUUUCUUACCAUGCCAUAUCUCAUACGGCGUGAUAGGAACGGAUUUAGAGGGAACUCUAUUUAACAAAUAAGCUGCGGUAAGCAAAAUAUGUCCCCAAAGAAAUAUAGGAAGAUCAGUGAAGCUCAUCAUGGAUCGAACCACAUCCAAUAAGGUUCGGUUUCUCCGUUCUGACACUCCGUUGAGUUGAGGUGUACCCGGAGGAGUCCACUGUGAGACUAUGUUGUUUUCUUUGAGAUAAUUUAGGAACUCUCCACUAAGAUAUUCUCCUCUUCGAUCUGAUCGAAGAACCUUGAUGGAUUUUUCAGUUUGCUUUUCUACUUCAUAUCUGAAUUCUUUGAACUUUUCAAAUGCCUCAGAUUUGUGUUUCAUAAGAUACACAUACCCAUACCGUGAAUAAUCAUCGGUAAAGAUUAUGAAGUAGAGAUAACCAUCCCUAACAUGCACAUCAAAUGACCCACACACAACAGUGUGUAUCAGGAAAAGUAUCUCAGUGGCCCUUUCCCCUUGUCCUACAAAGGAUAAUUUAGUCAAUUUUUCUUGAAGACAAGAUUCACAAACUGGAUAAGACUCUGAAGUCAAUGAGCCGAGAAGCCCAUCUUUAUCCAAUUUAUUUAUCCUUUCUUCUCCAAUAUGACCAAGCCUGAGGUGCCACAUAUACUUUAGGUUCAUCUCAUCUCUAGGUCUCUUAGACCCAACAGCAGUCUCUACUUGCUCAGAAAUAUUUGCAGAUACAUCCAUAUGUAAAUGAUAAAGACUGUCAAUCAUAAAACCACGACCAAUAAUAUUAUUUCUAAAAUAAAUUAUGCAGUAGUCUUUGUCAAAAUUAAAAUUAUAACCGUCCUGUGCUAAAGAAGAAACAGAAAUCAAAUUCCUGCUAGCAGCAGGUACAUAAUAACAGUCUUUAAGUAAUAAAACAUAUCCUGACGGUAGUCGCAAAGGAUAGGUGCCAGCAGCCACAGCAGCAACUCUUGCCCCGUUGCCCACCCGUAGGGUCACUUCACCUUCCCUAAGCCCUCUACUUUCCCUUAGACCCUGCAUUGAAGUACACAGAUGAGAACUAGAACCAGAGUCUAUAACCCAACUAGAAGUAGAGGAAACCGUAAGGUUAGUUUCUAUUACGAGCAAGUCUGACAUACCUUCCGAAGGUGUGUCCUUCCUUUUAUUCUUUAAGCUCUCCAGGUAGACAGGACAAUUUCUCUUCCAAUGACCGUCAACGUUGCAGUGGAAACAUUUUCCUUUGUCAGCGGCCUUAUUCUUAGAAGCUUCCUUCUUGGGCUUGUUUUCCGUCUUUUGUUUCUUCGCGGGUUUCUUCUUCCAAUUAGACUUUCUUUUGGAAGAGGAAGCUCGCUCCACAGCGAGAAUCGAGCCCUUUGAACUUUUCAAAGUCCCCUCUGUAGUUAUCAACAUGUUCAAUAACUCUGCGUUGGUGCAAUCAAUUUUAUUCAUAUGGUAGUUUACAAUAAACUGUCCAUAUGAUACAGGAAGGGAUUGCAGGAUCAGAUCAACUUGCAAUUCCUUGUCCAUUUUCACGCCAAGCUUCUCAAGCUCCUCGAGGUCUUUGAUCAUUGUCAAACAGUGAUCAUGAACAGACUGCCCAUCGUGCAUCUUGGCUUUAAAGAGUCUUUUGGACACUUCAAAACGAGCAGAUCGGCUUUGCUCACCAUACAACUCCUUGAGGUGAGUUAGCAUUUCCUUAGCAGUCUUCAUAUCCUCAUGUUGGCGUUGAAGUUCAUUUGACAUCGACGCCAAAAUGUAGCACCUUACUUUAUUAUCGUCAUCCGUCCAUUUUUCUUGAGCUGUCCUUUGAUCAGCUGUUGGACGGUUUGGUAACGUGGGGGGGUCCUGGUCGAGAACAUAACUGAGCUUUUCGGAACUCAAAACUAUUUUUAAGUUCCUUAGCCAAUCUUUAUAAUUAGUUCCAAUUAAACGGUUUGAUUCAAGAAUUCGAGAGAGAGGAUUGGAAGCGGACAUUUUGUUCUGCAGAGAGUAAAGAUUCAAGUUAGAUUUUUGUAUUUGUUUUGAAAAAAUUGUUUUAGGGAUUUUAAAAACAAUAAAUUUAGCCUCCCACUAUUUUCUCGAGUCUCUAACACUCCUCGGGUAGAGAAACGGAAACCCAACGCGACAAAAGGUUUCAAGUGGGUACUGCGGUCCCACCAAUUUAACGUACCACCUCACCUAACAGUUAUUGGUGAUAUGCAAACCGAUGAGUGGACAACUCUUGUCCAAUGCUUCUCAAGCAAAUUGCAGUGAUCGGUCUCUAAGUCCUGUAGGCCUCACCUGACAGUUAUUGGCCCCAUUCCUUAGUUAAGUCAGACCCACCGUUCAAACGCGUAAGCAAAGCCGUCAUUGGGUCCCUCACCUGACAGUUAUUGGGCCCAACCCCAUCUUUACUCCGCAGCAUCUCAUGCUAAUAGAGUGGUUGCGAAUUCCCGAUGCAACUGACCACUGUAACCAGCCGUGCCAAUCAACACCAGAAAAGCGCCCGCACUUCUACAACGGCGGAAGACCGCUCGACUUAAUAUUUAUGAGGAGAUUUAUUUAGGUCUCAAAAAAUAUUUUAUUUAUUUACAUCUAAUGCAAAUAAAAUAAAAAAUCAAUCCGCGCAAACAAACAUAAUUAAACUGGUGAUGAUCAUGGAUCUUAGAAGUGGAUUCGGACUCGAGCCACUGAGUCGGAAUCGGGGUCUUAGGGUCAUAAAUUACAAGCACACACACGUCAUUGGUUUGAUCGUCUUCAACUUCUUGAUCCGAUCUGGAGCUUCAACUUGAUUUGAUCCUUAUCAACACCUUGAUCCGACCGCCAUCAAGUAUUCAUCUCUAUCCGGGCCUUGCGAACUUUUAGGCUUGCAACCGAUCAACCAAUGACGUGCAACCAUACAUUAUACAACCCAAUAAUAAAAAUGAAAUAAAAAAUUAAUUACAUUUGAUAACUUUUAUCUCUAACCUAUUGAGACACGCAGGUCUCCAAAUAAAUCGGCUUGUGCACGCAGGCACAAAUAUAGCCAUCUCUAAUACAAAAUCCUUAAUUUAAACAAAUUUAAAAUUACAGGAUUCUGCAUACACAUCAUACAUCACAUGUCGAAAUAAAAAUAGGUCGCUAUCCAUGAUCAUCACCGAUAUGUAUCUCAUACAUCACAUAUAUAAUAAUAAAUUUGGAUAUUCUAAUUAACCGUUAAAAGAUGAUUCGAAAAAUAAUAGUGACUUAAUCACUAAUAACAAUCAAUCUUAUUGAUCUUUAUAAUUUUGAUCAAAAAUUUAAUCUUCAAAAAUAAUUUGAUCUCAUCAAGAUUUAAAUUUGAUCUAAUCAAAUUAGAUCCUUUUCUUUUAGUUA